GGCAUGGUGGACUUCCCAGAAGCACUCUGUGACUUUGGCUCUAGCGUCAACAUUAUACUCAGGGUACUUUAUGAGAAAUUCUUUACAUAAACUUUAUUAGAGACAACCAUGUGUUUGCAGUUUGCAGAUCAGAUGAUAACUUUUCCAAAAGGAAUCGUGAGGAACCUUUGUGUCCGAGUUGGUACCUUAUAUGCCCCAGCAGACUUCGUAGUGGUAGAGACCGGAAAUGAUGAGAGAGCACCUAUCAUCCUAGGGAGGCCAUUCUUGAACACCACGGGAGCUAUCAUCUACGCCAGUGCUGCCAAGAUCAGUUUCUACGUCAAAGGGAAGAAGGAGAUAUUUUUCUUCAAGAACAGGACUACACAAAUUCAAGAUCAAUCCAGACGUGAAUCAAGGAAGAGGACCAACAGGAGAAACAGGAACAAGCAAGUGUGGACCGAGUCAGCUAAGAUGGUCACUGUAGUUCAUGGAGGUCAAGACCACCAACUUAAGUCACCGUUUUUGACCAAGAAGGACGACCCAGGAAUGCCAAGCAUUUACUGCUCCAUACAUGGAUAUAGCUUCUACAAGACAAUUUGCGACACCGGAUCGGGCGUCAACAUAAUGGCUGCAAUCACCUAUCGGCUCUUGUUCGGGACCAUGCCACUAAGACCAACAUACAUUCAACUCCAGAUGGCAGAUCAGACAUUUCGAGAAGUUCAAGGAAUAGUAUCUGAUGCUCCAGUCAAAAUAGACGAUCACUUUGUCUACACAGACUUUCAAGUUGUUGACAUGGGAGAAGACGAGUAUGAUCCACCCGUCAUCCUUGGAAGACCUUUCCUCAGCACCGUUAAAGCAAUUAUCUACAUUGGAACCGGAGAAGUCCAUAUGCACUUCCCCUCAGAGAAGGUACACCGUUAUUUUACUGACCCUAACUAUAUCAUUGAAGAAUCUAAGCAGGUAAGAAAGCGACGCAACCGCAACCAGAGGAGGCAGAUCAUCAAGGACGGAUGGGCAGACUAUGAAGGAGAAGUUGUAAGGUCAGAAGACAUAGAGUUUAAACAGAAUUAUCCAGAGGAGAUUGAAGCACCGAGUCAUGUAUGGAAAAUGAAGAUAACUAUACAAGAAGAGGAGGCGCUGCCGGAAGUACCGACUACGCCACCCAACGAACCUCAGGACGAUUAGGAAAAUGGAGAGCCCCGUUCGGAGGACUUAAAAACACCGAACGCCUUGCCAAGAGGUAAACUUGGUAGUUAUCAUUUCCCUUUCAAUUAUUUCAAAUAGUUUACUUAGUUAAUCAUAUUCACACUAUCUUAAAAAGAAAAUAAAAAUGUUAAAAACAGUAAGCCCCAUGUGAGUAGACGAGUGGCAUGAAACCCAUAGGUACAUUCACUGUGGUGGCAUAAAAAUAAAAUAAAUAUUUUUCUGCUUUAUAAAAACAAAAAUAUAAAAACAGGGAGUAAUAAUUAUUAAGGAGUCUCAACAUGAUAAAGGCUAGAUAUUUAUGCUAACACUUAAUCAGUUCCACAAGCUUUGUUGUCUAUUUGAGCUCCACAGAAUUUAAGAAUCAAGAAGACUAGCAGACGGAGGACAUCCUAAUCGCUGUCAGAAUGCUGCUGACUUUCAAAUACACCUCUGCCACCUGCUAGCUACACCAAGAGAAAUUACGUCAAAAUUCAGCUUGGGGGAGAGCACCCCCAUUUAUCCCGAUAAGUAUUUCUUUCUAUCUAUCUUUAUACUUAUAUUAUUUUAGAAUAUAAAUAACUAUGAAAAAACCAAAUAAAGAUUUUAUGCUUAUAUAUAUGCCUUUUGCUUAGUGUGUUUAAUAAAUAAAUAAAGUGGCUAUGCUAAUCUGUAUCUAAAUAAAACUUAAGCAUGGAUAUGAUAAAUAGUUGCUCUGCCUAAUUUGCAAAUUUUAAGUUCUCUCUCAAGUUUAGAUAUAACUGUUAUAAUUUAAAUCUUGCUCUAGACCUAAACUUGUGGGAUGAAAACUUGAUCUGAAGUCUAAGUUGUUAACGGAUAUGAUAUGGGAAGGUUAAGCUGCUGUUUAUCUGUUCCUAGAGAUGCUAGAAUUCUGGAGAAUUUUAUCUUUGAAAAUCUUUAAAAUGUUGCAUGAUGAGUUCGUGUAUGAUGAGAGCUUAAAUUCCUACCACAGCCAUAUAUGCAUGCUUGCUAGACUUUGAGCCACACAUUUAUUAUUUACUGCUUAUGAGCAUUGAGUGUGGUCAAGCUGUGUAGACCCUUAGGAGCUUGUCAUGUGGUUAAAUCAAGAUUUCACUUGCACGUCCACUCAUAUAUGCUACUUCUACUCCGGAAGUACCAUCCACAUAUAUCCAUCCAUUUCCAUCUCAAGAAUCACCCAAAAAUAUUCUACUCCUAAUCCGAGAGAGAAUAACCAAAAAAAAAUAUUUCUAUUUUUCCCUUUGUAAAAUAAAUGCUCAAGUUAUCUUGUUACUACCACUUGCUAUAUUAUCUCAUGAGAUGAGUGCUCUAAAAAAAAGAGAUACGAGGAAAUAAAAAGGAGCAAGUGCUCGGAACCUCGAAAGAAAAAAAAGUGAGACGAGAGGUAAAAAUGGACAAGUGUCCGACAGUAGAAUUAGGGGUGCAAGAUGCCCACCUGAGAGACAAGAAAAAGAAGAGCAUCUCAUUCUCCUCAUAAAGUUUCAAAAGCAAGGAAGGUAUGUAUCCCCUCAAAAGAGCAAAGUAGAAUUAGACUUCCACCACCAUUGUUUCCACCAAUGUUAUCACCAUUAUCACCAUACACCAUUCAUUCGCCACACAUACACAUCUUGAUUUGGCUUAUUGAUUUGUUUCUUUGGAUCCAUGGUUUGACUAUGCAAUAAAUGUCUUGUAAGUAUGUAUACUUUAUCUCCCACCUAUGAACUCCAGAUAUUAAAGCCUUAUUAGAGUAGGGUGAGAGAAAAGGCAAUGUCACUAUGCCUCAUACCACAAAUACUACAUAUCUUGAGAGAAGGCAUAUACCAUCAAUGCCUUGGUAAGGAUCCAAAAAUACCACAAAAGAGAGACCUGAGAGAAUCAUACAAGGAAUUUCUGAGUUUUAUUUGAAAAUCUGCAAAAACUCUAGAGCUAUAGCUGAUCAAGAAUAAGAGACAUGGCACUUGGCUAGACUGUUCUAUAUUUUAACUACUCAAGACAGAAGUGACAGUUACAAGUCCCAUGGUGAAGGUAAAGUAAGUAAGUUUUAAGUCUUGACAGUUUACUCUCACUCAGAGAUGAGAUCUUAUUUAAAAAGCAUGUGUACCGUCAAAUUUUAAAGAUAUUGCAACUACUUCUGGUCCAUAGCUGAGUCUAUCCUUGCUCAGGGACGAGCAAGAGGUAAGCUUGGGGGAGUUUGUUGACGGUCCUUAAGUAUCAAAUUUAAUUUUCAAAUAAAUAAAGAAAAGGAUCCAAAUGAAAUCAAGAUCUAGACUUAGGGUUUUAUCUGACAGAAUUCCACGAGUUUUGGUGUUUGUCUAUUUCUGCAGGGGGUUAUCAGGAAAUACGGAAGAAAGGCCCACAUGUCAGGAUUACGUAAAGAUAUUAACGUGCUGCGCAAUUAUCUUACAUCUAGAAGAGUCCAGAAGCCACGAGACCGAAGUGGAGGCGAAACGGGGCCAGAGACAGGGCGCCCGCCCCCUGUUGGAGUCCAAACAGGACUCUGCUUUGCGGGAAGGCUCCACCGACCUAAAGGAUGAAUCUAAACCAUACAAUCUAUGUCGGUUUGAUCCAAGGGCCCAUAUUCACUUGAAGAGACUAUAAAACCAGACCCCCUGGCCCCUGGAGGAGAGAGCCUCUCAACCCUAAUUCAUUGUUCCAUCAAGGGAGAAGAAGCCUCUGAUCAAGAUUAGAGCCACCACAUCAAUUAGACAUCUAGAUUAGCAUAGCUACAUAGGAUUAGAACUAGAAGGAGUCAAUCUUCGAUUGGUUUCCGGAUCUGUCAGGAGGAUUCUUGGUAAUUCUCUAAUUGUGCUUCUAAUUGCUUUCUAAUUAUCUUUGUUCUUCAAUAUUAUGAAUAUGACUUUGUUCUACUUCAAUAUAUUGCUUAUGACUUUGCUCUACUUGCUUAUAUUCAAGAUUAUAUUGUUCUUAGUUUAUCAUAGUUAUGUACUUGGCUUAGUUAGAUACGAUCUAUAUACAUGCUUAGGAUCGUAUAGCGUUUAUCCAUCGGAUCCAUGGGUAAAUGAUAGAUAUUGUGUAGGCGUGGUGCUUAUACCGUAUUUAUCUGCGAUUGUACCCAAUAUGCCAGAUCGUGGGGUGGUUCGUGAUAGUGACAGCUUCAUUGAUUCUUAUAUAGUCCCCCUCUCGUGUAUUGGGCUGGCAGAGCAACAUUAUUACAGGGGAGUGAUUGCUAUGUUUCUCAUAUUCCUUGCUAAUAUCACUAUGCAUGGGCGUAGUCUUGUCUCGCAAUGAUUGCUAAGUAUGCUUGCACUAACUAUGAUAAUGCUAGACUAUAUAGUUAAGAAUAACUUAGGGAAUAUUCUUGUAGUUCGUUCUAAUACCAUGCUAAUGACUUUCUAGAGUAUCUAAUUGAGGUGCUUAUCAUAUUUAUUAUGUCACUAGAUCAGAUUAGUUAUCCUUGUCACUAUUAUUAUUUCAUAUAUCUUUUAUGUGACACUUAUCCCUGUAUGAAGAGUUAGAUAUAAUGUUCUCAAUUAUACAUGCAAUGAUAGAUGCUCAAUCUCAUAUUCUAUUCUGUAAUCAAUAGUGAUGAUUGCUAAUCCCUUCCCAGUGGUAAAAAUAUAAAUAACGAUACCUGGAGUACUUCCCGGUUAAAAUGCUGCAUCGGUAUUAAUCUGUGCGCUUGCAGAUCCCAUUCAUUAUUUAUUUAGAAGAGCAAUUGCAUAUUUCAAUACCGCGUCUCUCAUGUUAUGCUGGGGAUGACAACUUGGCUUAAGUGGUGUGAGGGAUAGGUUUGGCAUUUUUGGCACCGUUGCUAGAUUUAGAACUUAGUCUACUUUUAGUAAUGAUGUUAAGAAUACCCAACAGUUGCUUAGGUUCCUAGCAAGCGUUUGUGCCACUUGGUGGAGACUCUACCGAACCCACCGUCGCCGGACACGAUGCGCAGCGCCGCUGUGUUUCCGCCGGAGAUGGGCGCUCUCGUGGCCAGCGUAUUCCACAAUGUUUCAAGCCAAGCCGCGUACCUAGGAAGCUUCGCCGUAGUCCGCUGGUGCUGUAGGGAACCCUAGGUCACGCUCUACCGGCCUAAGGACUCCGGCGUAACGCCGAGCACCUCCGCCGAGCCGCCAUGAUCGACGGCGAGCCCCUUCCGGUGGCUCCGCCGUGGAGAAAAGGGGAUCAAUCGAGUCGCUAGAGUCUCGGGAUCACGUUGGUGCCCUUGGUUUGGUCGGAGACCUCGCCGUCGCGGAGAAAUCGCCGGCGAGAGUCGCCUCGGUGGUGAGGAAGACGACCCUGACAGGCGGGGUCCACUGUCAGUGUCACCUCACUUCCCUCCUUUUCCUUUAUUCAAAUCCAGAUUUUUGGCUUUCUUGCAAAAAUCAUAUCUCCUGUUUCUGAGAUCCGAAAAUUGUGAAACCAAUUUUGUGAUGUUCCUUGAGAUGGCUAGUUUUUAUUAAAAAUAUAAAAUGAACCAUGUUUUCUGGGAAAAUAUUUAUUAAGGAUUUAAUCUUGUUAUUCAUGGAUAAAUUCAUAUCUCUGGUUAUACUGCUUAGUUUGCUCUGAAAACUUUAUGGUAGUCUCUGUGUGAUACUAGAAUCCUAUGAUAAAUAGUUCAUGAUUUUUGGAGUACUGCAGCUUUGUUAUGUAAUUUAUGUUUGGGAUUUGGCUUGUUUCUUUAAUUAAAUCAUAUAAAAUAAUUGGUGCUUAUGCUGGUGUUCUACUUUGGUGGUAAACUUUUUUAUGACAUCCAUAAUAUGUAAAUAAUCUGAAAUCUGUUGUUUGACACCAUAUAAGUCAUGUUUCUGAAUUUAUGAAAUAAACACCUUGUCAUAUGUUAAAUACAUAUCUUUAAUUUGGUUUGUGCAAUUGCUCUGAAAUUUUUAUGGUGAUGCUGUGAUGCUAUACUUGUGAAUCUGUAAUUUUUGUAGAUUUUUCUGAGCACUUUUACAAGUAUCUUGUAAUUAUGCUCCUCUCUAGAAUUAAAUUAAUAAAUGCAUUGUUAAUAAAUAUUUGGAGGUUAUCAUGUGGUGUUCUGGUAACCUUAUGACAUGCUUGUACUUAUAAGUUAAGUAUUUGACACUGUUUAUGCUUUGGCUAUCAUUAAAUAAUUAAUUGGUGGGUUAAAAGCUGUUCUGGACAGCAAGGGAGUAAUUUAACUUUUGCUUAAUGAUAACUUGGUUUUCUAGGAAACUUGUCUAAAUCAAAGUUGUUGAACUAGCUGUGGUUUAAAUUUGGGAUCAAUUGGUCCGGUAGUUUAAAAGUUAUGGCUGAUCCAAGUUGGGUUCCAGAAAUAGGUGUUCUCUGUUUUUCUGGGACAGAACCUGGAACUUUGUUUAAAUGGCUUCUUUAACUUAUAAAUCUUGCUGUGAUGUUUAAAGAUGAUUUGUAGUCAAUUUCAUAAGCUUUCCAGAAUGUCCUCACUUAAAUUUGUUGAAUCUUUGUGGCAAUAGUUAUGAUCUGUUUUCUGAGCUAAUUCUGUUAUAUGUUGCUUGCUGUUAUAGGUUAUCAUGAUAGGUUUUGGGCUAAGUUAACUUGUUAACUUGUGUGAACUUGUUAUAACUAUUGCGCCGUAAAUGAGUGUCCAGUGAGUCACUUAUGUUAUCAAGCAUUCAUUCUUUUGUAUGCACACCAUCUCAUUCACCGAGCAUGCAAUAGGUGCAUCGGACGUGGCAGCCUCGUUCGAUCUGCAAGUGAACCCCGAAGGCCAGGAGGGCAGCCAGGAGGUGGAGGUCCAGCCAGUCGGACUCGAGGAGCCCGAAGAAGAAGUUGAGUGCCCGAAGCACGAGCCAGCCUCGUUCGUGAAAGGUAAGCCCCGGAGCAUUCUAAGCCUCCCUUUACUUUCAAAAGUUUAUUUAAUAUGUUAUAUCUAUUGCUGCAUUAAGUAUAGGAGUUGUGAUGAAACCUUUGCUGCAUUUUACUCCAUCCUUGUCCAGAUAAUUUACCUACCUUGGUUGUAGAGUUAGGAUCGGGUAGCAGCUUAGCCAUGCUUAAUCGGUAGAAGUCGGGUGAUUUCCUGUCACUUGCGCGAUAUAGGGUUGUGUCGGAUCACAAUGGUCUAUAUGUGCUAUCGUGGAGGGAACCUGAUUAAAUUGACUUAAGCCGGGCAGAGUUUUGCAAGGUUGUAGUAACUCCGUCUGUGGCAGCUAAGGACCGACCUUUGUACGUCCUCUUGUCAUGUUGAACGCAUGCCUAACAGUUAGUUGGCCGGAUAACUCAUUCCGACCGCGAAGCCGAGUAGUAUGACUCAGGCCGGAAGACCGGCAAGUAUAAAGUACGCACUACCGGAGGAAGUGCGGUGUGCGGGGGACCAUUGGCGUAAGCCCAAAGGCAGGUGAGUUAAAAUUCCUGACCUCCCUGGCAGAGUGGUAGCCCUGGGAGUGCGGCGCUGAUCGGAGCCGCGAUUCCUGAGUUGUACCAAAGGUGACCCGUUGGCUCUCCGACGGGGGAUGCUUGGGUGAGUGCUAGGAAUAACCCUCCAGCUGGAUAGGAAUUCGAUUCGACUCGCCGUCUGUCCCGGUCAGUGAGAACUUGACAGAGCAGCGGCAAACGUAGCAUUCACUAAUGAACUUGGUUCAUGAUAAUGAUGAUAGCAAGGAAGAAUGUAUGAUGAACUUGAUAUGGUUAUUAUUGCUUGUAAUAAUCAAGUGAAGUGCUUAGUACAGGUGCUAAUCUAGCAGUAGGCUAAUGGUAAGUAAAUAUGAUGCUCUUACAAUGGGUUAGUCAUAAUAAAGGCUUUUGGCAAAAUGUCGAGUCAACCAGCUCUGCUUUUAUAUAUUAACAUUGCAUGAUCCUUGGUGUCUUUUAUGUUUUACUAGAUGGGUAAGUCUAGCUGAGUACAAUCUCGUACUCAGGGUUUAUUCCCACCUGUUGCAGAUGACAUCUUUUAUGACGGCUUCUGCAAGACCUGUCUCCAUCCCGCUGGGGAUGAGGACUAACCGUUGGGCACGGUUAUCUAACAACCUCGUACCUAUUGCUUUUGGAAGGAUGAUGUAGACUCUGGCAGGAACUCGAACUUAUGAACUGGACUUUGUAAAGUGUGUGUGUAACUAUUUUGCUUCCGCUACUUCGAACAUGUGUUGUGAUAACUUAAUGACUACGAUGUGGUGCCGCUUCGAUGGCAAUGAAUGACUAUGUAACAUUCGCUGUGUUGUGCUAUUAUUACGAUCUUGGUUUGUUGCAAGUUGGUUUGAAGUCCUUCGUGAUUUCAAUUGACUACCGGGAUUAUAUGGGCUCAAGUUUGGAAACAUGAUUGCUUGCCAAUCGUUUCUACACUUGAACUCUUAUAAUUUGGUCGGUUCUGUGACAGCUGGUAUCGGAGCAAGUUCAGCAUUAUAAAUGCAGCGUUUGUGUAUUUAAAAACAAAAGAAGUUUCUAAAUAAAAUGGUAAAUCAAUACUUAAGUGAUGCCAGAGGUCGAAUCCUCCUUGCCCAUAUAAGGACUAUAGGUGGAUAUUUAAGUACUGACUUGGGGGGGUUUAUUUAUGCAUCUCCGGCAGUACUCAGGUAUAUGACCGCACUAUGCUACCCUGUGGUCUAAUGGUGGAGGUAGCCUUCAUAUGUGAAGUAGCCACAUAUGUCGCUAGAUUUAAAUUAUGCAACGUCGCACCUACGCUCUGGUAAGUGUGAGCUGUGAGAGCAUGAUCGUCCAAACGGCGGUCUAGGGGAGUGUUCGCGGUGGUUUUCUAGAGUGGUCACAGGUUAAAACCAUGGAACCAAAAAAGAAACUUAAUUAGGGAGCAUUUAAUUUCUCGGGUAGCUGUGGUGUCAUUGUUUGUGCAUGUUGGGCAUGUCCAAGCAAUGUGCACUUAGUUUACUGCUUUCUUGAGUGUUAUAUUGGGAACUGUUGGGCUGAAAUGAAGUUUUCUGCAGGUACUCUAACAACGCACGUGUAAAUCGAUAGUUAUCGUAUCGAGAGACGAAUGUAUGCCACCGUAUAUCCGUUAGAAUAUUAAUUUUCUAAGUUUGUGAGGACGUACGGUUCGUGCAUGCAUCAUGUCACAUUCAUACAUACAUUCUGUCUAUUCCUUCCCUUAUAAUUUUGUCCCUUUUAAUUAAAUAAAUGUUGCUUAAACUAAUCCUGUUUUACCCAUGGUAUUCCUAUUCCUUUCCACAGAUGGACGCACCCGCUUCACCCCGUCCCAGUGACACUUUCUUGAGCGAGUUUGGCACUCCUACCCUGCUCUGGAGAGUGUUACAGACUGUCGGGUAUACUGAGCCACCUCAGUACUCUUGGUGGGAGUUGGAGAGCAUAGGAGGGAUACAGUGGUUUGCUAUGCAGGGAGUUGUCCCUCCGCAUGGGGACAAGCCUGCAUGGACAGGCUGGACUUGUAGCUCAGAUGGGCAGACUCCUUGGGAGGCAGCUCAGGUUGCAGCCCAGACUAUCCUGCUCGAUAUCUGCCAGAAGUGUGGUGAUGAGCUGACGAGAGGACCAGCGGCCUCCAUUCCCCGUGCUGACCCAGCAGCAGCGGAGUGGAAACAGGCUGAUGGAUGUGCUUUGGUUUGAGGCAGGGGAGAGAGAGCUGAGAGUUCUAGUCCUGCUAUGAGUGCUAUGAUGGCUGUGCUCAAGUUGAUCGGUCAGCGAGAGGACACCUAUGCACAGGUGAUGGUGGCUGUUCGCCAGGCUCAGGAGAUGCAACGGAAGGCUGAAAAGCGUGCUCGCAAGUUUCGCAAGCAAGCUAGACUCCUGGAGCAAGCUCAGAAGGACCGCAAUGACUGGGAAGACAUUGCGGAGUACCGUAGGCAGUAGUGGGUGAAGGCCAUUAGAGACAGAGAUCAUAAGCAGGAUCAGAUGAGUCAGUUGGCUAGAGAGAGGGAGACCAUGCAGGAGCGCUUGGUGCAGAUCACUCGUGAGAGGGACACUACACUCCGCGUGUCGGAGAACAGGCGCCGGGCAUGGGAGAUGCACCGGGUUCUGCAGGAUCAGAUUGAGGCUGGUCUUGUGGAGAUUCACCGUCUCAACAACUUGCUACACCCUAUUCCUCGCCCUAUACCCGUGUAUCCAGAGGUGAGACCUCAGGUGAUUGUGGCCGAUGAUGAUGGUAUGGAGGUCAAUGGACCAACAGCGGCUGCACCACCUUUGCACGAGGACGUGGAGAACGAGGAGCUUGAGCCGGUUAGCGACGAGGAUGGAGAGGCAAUCUUCGACGCUGAUUCAGACGACGAGCCUGGAGUGUAGGGAGUAGUGGGUAGUGUUAUGUGGGGAUCUUUUGUAGUCUGGCAGCUAGCGGUGAUGCUUUUGUAACCAUGUUGUAAUUCGGAACUUUGACCUUGACUCAUGGCAUGUAAUGGGAUGGUGUAAUAACUUUGUGGACCCAAUGUGUAAUCUUAACAUGUUCGUUAUGUUAUGACGAUGUUUUCCGUUGUGGUGCAUAUUGCGGGUAUCUCUGUCAUGUAUUGGAUUGGUGAUGUUGUUUUGUGGAAUUGAAUUAUUAUGCCUUUUCUGUAAAGCUAUUCUCUCGAAUACUUUCAGGCAUAAAUAUAAGUUCUUCUGCGGCAAAUCUUGUCAUCAUCAAUGCUCACUGACUAUGUCUUUACAGAUGUCUCGUGGCACCCGAGGUGCGGAACAGCGUGCAAACAUGCAUCCACCCCCUCGUCCUCCACCACCAAAUCCUGCUGAGUUAAUGCAAAUGAUGGUGGAAAAUCAGAGGAUGGUCACUGAGACCAUCAAUCGGAUGGCCAAUCAGGGUGGUCGUAAUGCACAUGAAGGGCCAGCUCCUAACCAGUACAGUAGCUUCAAGGACUUCAUGGAAACAAAACCCCCGCCUUUCAGAGAAGCUGAAGAACCCCUUCAAGCUGAGGAAUGGCUGAACACGGUGGAACAAAAGUUCCGCUUGCUUCGGUUGACUGAAGGUUUCAAGGCAGAGUAUGCAGCUCAUCAACUGCAAGGUCCGGCAGGCAUCUGGUGGAAUCAGUAUCGGGAAGCUCUUCCAGCCGACACUGUGCUUGACUGGAAUCUUUUCCGUGAAGCUUUUAAGGGGCAUUUCAUUCCUCCUGGUGUCAUGGAGAUGAAGCAUACUGAGUUCAUGCAGUUAACCCAGGGUAACAAAUCUAUGAAGGAGUAUUUGCAUGCUUUCAAUCAUUUGUCUAGGUAUGCUCCUGAGUUUGUGAACACUGAGGCGAAAAAGAUUGCCAGUUUCAAGCGGGGUUUGUGCCCCAAGUUGCUGAAGACUAUGGGCAGCACUAAGUGUGCAACUUUCAAUGAGUUUGUCAGUGAUGGUCUCACUCAAGAGAACUAUAACACUGUGUACACUACGACCAAGACUCGCAAGUGGGCUUUUGAGGCUAGGGCAGGGUCAUCUCAGUCCAAGGCUCCAGUGGCAGCUAAGCCACCGUUCCGUGCUCCAACGCCUAAUCAGCGGUACCGCCCUCCGGUGAAACAGAAUCAGGCGAAGACAGGUUUCUGCAAGGGGUACUCCAUUGCUCUUCCUAGGGGCAACACGGGUCCCAACUAUGCCAUGACUCCACCUGCCAACCGUCCGUGCUGGAACUGCAAUCAGACCGGGCAUUGGCAGAGUAACUGUCCUUACCCGCCAAAGAAGGGCAACCAAGGGAACGUCUGUCAGGGGCGUGUUCACUACACAACUGUGGAGGCAAUCCCUGCUGGUGAGGUAGUCACGGUAGGUAAGUUUCUGGUUAACCAAUGUGACGCGCUUGUGCUUUUUGAUUCAGGAGCAUCGCAUUCUUUUGUGAGUUCUGAAUUUGUGUCUAAGCAUAAUAUCAAGGCAAUUACACUUGAUAAGGGCAGUUAUUGUAUUAGUGCUGCGGGAAAUGAUAUUUCCACCAUCAAGUGGUUUUGGGGGCAACUCUGGAAAUAGGAGGCCGUCAGUUUCUUGCUAUUUGGUUGUUCUACCCGGUGUGGGCAUAGAUGUAAUUCUGGGGAUGAAGUGGAUGAGUGGCAACGGAGUUCUUAUCGACACCACCACUCGUGUAGUGAUGUUGAAAGACCCGAAUACCAAGGAGGCAUUUCUAGUGCAACUCCCUCAUGAUAUUCAAAUCCGUAGCAUUGUGAAUGCAGUUACAUCUAAGGCUAUUCAGGACAUUCUGGUGGUGUGUGAGUUUUCGAAUGUAUUUCCUGAUGAUUUGCCCGGGCUUCCUUCGGAUCGGGAUGUGGAGUUCAAAAUUGAGUUGAUUCCAAGUACCGCUCCUAUCUCUAGAAGGCCUUAUAGAAUGCUGCCAAAUGUGCUAGCUGAACUUAAGACCCAACUAAAUGAGUUGUUGAAGAAGGGUCUUAUCCGUCCUAGUUCUUCUCCAUGGGGUUGUCCCGCUAUCUUUGUGAAGAAGAAGGAUCAAUCUUUGCGCAUGUGUGUGGACUAUCGUCCCCUAAAUGCGGUGACCAUCAAGAAUAAAUACCCUCUUCCUCACAUUGAUAUCUUGUUUGAUCAGUUGUCUAAAGCCAAGGUAUUCUCCAAGAUCGAUUUGCGAUCUGGGUACCAUCAGAUCAAGAUCCGUCCUGAAGAUGUACCUAAGACAGCUUUCUCGACAAGGUACGGGUUGUAUGAGUAUCUCGUCAUGUCCUUCGGUCUUACAAAUGCACCUGCUCACUUCAUGUAUCUCAUGAAUUCGGUGUUCAUGCCCGAAUUGGACAAGUUUGUGGUGGUCUUCUUUGAUGAUAUCUUGGUAUAUUCCUGCAAUGAAGAGGAGCAUGCAGAGCAUCUGCGUAUAGUGUUGCCGCAUUUGCGCGAACAUCAGCUUUAUGCCAAGUUUAGCAAAUGUGAGUUUUGGCUGAAGAAAGUACCUUUCUUGGGCCAUGUCUUAUCUGAAGAAGGCAUAUCGGUGGACUCAGCCAAGGUGCAAGAAGUGCUGGAUUGGAAACUUCCAACUUCGGUGCACGAGGUUCGAAGUUUUCUUGGUCUGGCUGGAUAUUAUCGUCGAUUCAUUCCGGAAUUUUCAAAAAUAUCCAAGCCUAUGACCCGUCUGCUUCAGAAAGAUGAGAAGUUUGUGUGGACGCCUGAGUGUGAAGAGGCAUUCCACAUGUUGAGGACAUUGCUGACAUCAGCUCUUGUCCUAGCUCAACCUGAUAUCGAAAAGCCCUUCGAUGUCUUUUGUGACGCGUCAGGCAUCGGUUUAGGCUGCAUGUUGAUGCAGGAAGGUCGCGUUAUCGCGUAUGCCUCGCGCCAACUUCGAAAACAUGAGGUCAAUUACCCUACUCAUGACUUAGAAUUGGCAGCAGUUGUUCAUGCUUUAAAAAUCUAGAGGCAUUACUUGCUGGGUAAUCUGUGUAAUAUCUACACCGAUCAUAAGAGCCUCAAGUAUAUCUUCACUCAACCUGAACUGAACAUGCGGCAGCAAAGGUGGCUUGAGUUGAUUAAAGAUUAUAAUGUACAAGUGCACUAUCAUCCGGGCAAGGCAAACGUGGUUGCGGAUGCUUUGAGUCGGAAAGCGCACUGUCACUCUAUCCUAAUGGAAGAUCCGUUGUUGUCACAUCUUAUGCAUCCACUUGUGCUCCACCAAAUUUCUCUGGAGAGUACUCUUCGCAAUCGAGUCAUCGAAUUGCAGCAAACAGAUGUAGGUAUCCACCAUAUAAAGAGGAAAAUGAAGGAAGAAGAAACCAAGCAUUUUCGGGUCGAUGAGAGCGGAAUUCUUUGGUUCAAAGAUCGACUAGUGGUCCCAAAGGACCGUGAGCUGCAAAAUCAGAUCUUGUCUGAAGCUCAUUCAUCGAAAUUGUCUAUCCAUCCUGGUAGUAGCAAGAUGUAUCAGGAUCUGAAACCUUUGUUUUGGUGGACAAAGAUGAAAAAGGAGAUCGCUGCUUUUGUCGCUCGUUGUGACAAUUGUUGUCGUGUGAAGGCUGUUCACAUGAAAGCUGGUUUACUUCAACCCUUGUCAAUUCCUGGUUGGAAAUGGGAAGAAGUCAGCACGGAUUUCAUCGUUGGAUUCCUAACUUCUGUUAAGGGUUACGACUCCAUCUGGGUGAUUGUAGAUCGUUUGACCAAGGUUGCUCGAUUUAUUCCAGUUCGAACUGACUAUCGUCCACAUCAAUAUGCAAAAUUGUAUUUCGAGCACAUUGUUCGUCAGUAUGGUGUGCCUCGAACUAUUGUAUCAGAUCGUGGACCACAGUUCACUGCUCAUUUUUGGUAAUGUCUGCAUGAGUAGAUUGGUACUCAUUUAGUCCGUAGCUCUGCUUAUCAUCCCCAAACGGCUGGUCAAACUGAACGGGUUAACCAAAUCCUAGAAGACAUGUUGAGGGCAUGUGCUCUCUCUUCAAAAGGUUCUUGGGUUAAGUGGUUGCCAUUAGCUGAGUUCUCCUACAACAAUAGUUAUCAGGAGAGUAUCAAGAUGGCUCCAUUUGAAGCCCUGUACGGUCGAAAGUGUCGAACCCCGUUGAAUUGGGUAGAAGCCGGAGAGCGAAGGUAUUAUGGCAUCGAUUUCGUGAACGAAGCAGAGCAGCAAGUCUGUACCAUCCAGCAACAUCUGGAAGCUGCUCAAGCUCAUCAGAAAAGUUAUGCCGAGAAAAGAAGGAAGCCGAUUGAGUUUUCAGUUGGUGACCAUGUGUAUAUCAAGGUGUCUCCGAUGAAGGGUGUACAAAGGUUCGGAGUCAAGCGAAAGCUUGCACCUCGUUAUGUGGGACCUUAUCGGAUUCUCGAAAAGAAAGGGAAUGUGGCAUAUAAAGUUCAACUCCCAGUUGCGCUUCGAGCUAUUUUCCCUGUCUUCCACGUAUCACAAUUAAAGAAGUGCCUUCGGGUUCCGGAGGAAAGAGUGGAAGUUCGGAAUAUCAAGUUGAAAUCAGACUUGGUAUAUGAAGAAAAACCUAUAGCGGUUCUUGACCGCAAGGAAAGGGUGACUCGUAAUCGUGUGGUAAAAUUCUACAAAGUGUUGUGGAGUAACCACGGGGAAGAAGAUGCCACUUGGGAGACGGAGGAUUAUUUAAAAGAAGUUUACAAAACAUUCUUCGAAAAUCAGUAAGCUUUCAAAUCUCGGUACGAGAUUUUUGUAAGGGGGGAGGGCUGUAACACCCUAGUGUUAUGGUUGCAUUAAUCAUGUGCAUAGCAUGAGCAUCAUCAUCUACUCAAAGCAUAUCAUGAUCAUCAUCUAUCUUGAGCCAUGUCAUUCUAUGCAAAAAUGUGAUCUAAAUUACUUAAAUAGGCUUCCUAUGCUUAUGUUUGAGUGAACCAUGCUUGUGUAUGUGCUCUAUGCAUUGGUAAUUAGUUUAUCUAUGCUCAACUUAACCUUGGGAACAAUGUUCAGGUUGAUCACUUCUUCAAAAUAAUCACUUAAGUCAUACUUAUGCAUAUAGGCUCUAGAAACCUCUUUUGCUUAGGCUUUUAAAAAGUGUUUCAUAAAAUCUUUGCAUGUCAAAACUUUCUACAGAAAAGUUGUAGCAAAUUUUAUAAGGAAGAAAAGUUGUUUUAUGGCCAUCUCGUGAAAAUGAACACAACUAGCUCAAAAUUGACCCUCAAGGCAGAAUUGGGGCUGUUUCCAACACUUAGAGAAUUUUUUUAAGUAUGGGGACGCUACAGUUUGCUUGAUUGAUUUUGGGAAUCUCAUAUCUCUCAAUCCAGGCCGAUCUGGCUUUUGCUCUAGUUGACAAUGUUGUAGAACUCGAUUGGAACUCCAACUUUGUCAACUGCAUCAUCUCCUAUUUCGCUCUGGUUUGGGAGAUAAUCAUCGUCGAAGUCACUCUGUCAGACCCUGAUCGUGUCGUUUGAUUCAGAGUAGAGCUCGCCGUCGGGAACGUCCAGAGCGCCACCUGUCCGCCAGAUGGCGCCCGUACGCCGGCGAUGGUGAAAGGUCCUAAUAUGGCUAGAGGGGGGUGAAUAGCCUAUUUAAAAAUUCUACAAACCCACUAGAGCAAAAGGUUAGUAAAUAACAAAGCGAAGCUUUUUGCUCUAGCUCUAAUGGGGUGUUUGCAAGCCACCUAUCCAACAAUUCUAGUUGAUAUAAGCACUAAGCACACAAGAGCUAUGUCACUACUUACACUAGAAAGCUACCUAAAGUUUCUAUACAAGUAAGUAAGCUACUCUAGUUUGCGGGAAUGUAAAAGAGAUGGUUUGAACUUUAUACCGCCGCGUAGAGGGGAUGAAUCAAUCAAUAAUAUGAAGUCCAAUUACCGGGAGAAAUCCAAUGAAAAAUCACAAUGGAAACACAAUUUUUCUCCCGAGGUUCACGUGCUUGCCGGCACGCUACGUCCCCGUUGUGUCGACCAACACUUGGUGGUUCGGUGGCUAAGAGGUGUAGCACGAACCUCGUCCUCACUAGGACACCACAAGAACCUAUCCACAAGUGAGGUAACUCAAUGACACGAGCAAUCCACUAGAGUUACCUUUCGGCUCUCCGCCGGGGAAGGUACAAGACCCCUCACAAUCACCGGGAGAUGGCCACGAACAAUCACCAACUCGUGCCAAAGCUCCUCCGCUGCUCCAAGCCGUCUAGGUGGCGGCAACCACCAAGGGUAACAAGAAAACCGCAGCUAGAACGAUCCCCAAGUGCCACUAUAUGCAAUCACUCAAGCAAAUGCACUUGGAAUCACUCCCAAUCUCACAAAGAUGUUUAAUCUAUGAAGGAGAUGAGUGGAAGGUGUUUGCUUAGGCUCACAAGGAUGUCUAGUAGUCAAGAAUGCCAAGAGGGUGAGCCCUAAGCCGGCCAAACACGUAUUUAUAGCCCCUCAAACAAAUAGAGCCGUUGGCCCUUUCACUGGGCAAAACAGGGGUCACCAGACGCUCUUAAAGGUGCACCGGACGCUCAACACCUGCGUCCGGUGCUCCAACGUCAGCCGAGUCAGAAUCCAACGGUAACCUGCAGAGCACCGGACGCUGAGCAGGUUGACACCGAACGCGUCCGGUGCACACCAGACUCGUGCGCAGAGAGCUCCGCAAACUCGCAGGGUCACCGGACGCAAGCCACCGGACGCACCCUCAGCGUCCGGUGCUCACCGGACGCAUGCGCAGAGAGGCUCACAAAACGUCCGCACACCGGACGUUCAAGCCAGCGUCCGGUGCCUAUCGUCCGGUGCCUUACCCUAGCUGGGCCAGGCACUGUCUGCACCGGACGCUCAGGCAUAGCGUCCGGUGCCUCUGAGCCAGCGUCCGGUGAGUGUUCCUCAGCGAGAAACACUCCCGUGACUUCUCCAAAUUUCCCACCGGCGCAAUAGAAAAUAUGCACUUCAUUUUCUCGAAAAGCGCCGAAUCCCGCCUCGCAAGCUCGGCGGGAGGGAGAGAGGAACCCAUCCCCUCUCUACCCUUCAAACUCCAACUCCCUUCUCAAAGUGUGCCAACACCACAACGUGUGUACCAACAAGUGCACGUGUGUUAGCAUUUUCACAAUCCUUUUCUUUGAAGGAGUUAAGUUAGCUCACUAGGUUCUAAAUGCAUGCACAUGAACAAUGACACCUAGUGGCACUUGAUAACCGCUUAGCUAAAGAAUUCCCCUCUUUAUAGUACGGCUAUCUAUCCUAAAUGUGAUCACACCCUCUAUGGUGUCUUGAUCACCAAAACCAAAACCCUAAGAAAUACCUUUGCCUUAAACUCCAUAGGGUUUUGUUUUUCUCUUUCUUCUUUUCCAAGUUGAGCACUUGAUCAUCUUGUGGUUAUCACCAUCAACACCAUGAUCAUCACAUGCUCCAUCACUUGGCAUGUACCAACCUCAUUAAGUCUACACACACUUAGUAUAGAGGUUAGUACUAGGGUUUCAUCAAUUAUCCAAAACCAAACUAGGGCUUUCAGAUGGCCCCGCUCGUCAGCUCCCAGCGUGCGCAUGACCUCCACGGCGACGCCCCGGACGCAGUGGACGCGUCCACUCUCUCCUUCCACCCACUCUCUCGCCAGAACGCGGCCUCAGUGAGCUCACUCCGGCGAGCUCACUCCGGCGAGCUCGUGCGCGUUCCUUGCUACGCCAUUGCCCACCAAACUUCACCCAAAGCUUCACCGUGAACCGCUCUCCAUUCUCCACCCAUCAUCUCGCCGUGAAAUCCACCGUUGAGCCGCCAUUUCCUUCUUUCCCCAAAUCGGGUCGCUGUGACCUUCUUUUCCGGCGAACUCAAUGCCGAGCCCUGUGAAGCCGCCCGUCUUCUCUGGUUAGGUCCUAGAGGUUGCUUAGGUUCCUAGCAAGCGUUUGCGCCACUUGGUGGACGCUCUACCGAACCCACCGUCGCCGGACACGAUGCGCAGCGCCGCCGUGUUUCCGCCGGAGAUGGGCGCUCUCGUGGCUAGCGUGUUCCACGAUGUUUCCAGCCAAGCCGCGUACCUAGGAAGCUUCGCCGUAGUCCGCUGGUGCUGUAGGGAACCCUAGGUCACGCUCUACCGACCUGAGGACUCCGGCGUAACGCCAAGCACCUCCGCCGAGCCGCCAUGAUCGACGGCGAGCCCCUUCCGGUGGCUCCGCCGUGGGGAAAAGGGGAUCAAUCGAGUCGCUAGAGUCUGGGGAUCACGUUGGUGCCCUUGGUUUGGUCGGAGACCUCGCUGUCCUGGAGAAAUCGCCGGCGAGAGUCGCCUCGGUGGUGAGGAAGACGACCCUGACAGGCGGGGUCCACUGUCAGUGUCACCUCACUUCCCUCCUUUUCCUUUAUUCAAAUCUAUAUUUUUGGCUUUCCUGCAAAAAUGAUAUCUCCUGUUUCUGAGAUCCAAAAAUUGUGAAACCAAUUUUGUGAUGUUCCUUGAGAUGGCUAGUUUUUAUUAAAAAUAUAAAAUGAACCAUGUUUUUUGGGAAAAUAUUUAUUAAGGAUUUAAUCUUGUUAUUCAUGGAUAAAUUCAUAUCUCUGGUUAUACUGAUUAGUUUGCUCUGAAAAUUUUAUGGUAGUGUCUGUGUGAUACUAGAAUCCGAUGAUAAAUAUUUCAUGAUUUUUGGAGUACUGCAGCUUUGUUAUGUAAUUUAUGUUUGGGAUUUGGCUUGUUUCUUUAAUUAAAUCAUAUAAAAUAAUUGGUGCUUAUGCUGGUGUUCUACUUUGGUGGUAAACUUUUUUAUGACAUCCCUAAUAUGUAAAUAAUCUGAAAUAUGUUGUUUGACACCAUAUAAGUCAUGUUUCUGAAUUUAUGAAAUAAACACCUUAUCAUAUGUUAAAUACAUAUCUUUAAUUUGGUAUGUGCAAUUGCUCUGAAAUUUUUAUGGUGAUGCUGUGAUGCUAUACUUGUGCCUCUGUUGUUUUUGUAGAUUUUUCUGAGCAAAUUUGCGAGUAUCUUGUAAUUAUGCUCCUCUCUAGAAUUAAAUUAAUAAAUGCAUUGUUAAUAAAUAUUUGGAGGUUAUCAUGUGGUGUUCUGGUAACCUUAUGACAUCCUUGUACUUAUAAGUUAAGUAGUUGACACUGUUUAUUCUUUGGCUAUAUCAUUAAAUAAUUAAUUGGUGGGUUAAAAGCUGUUCUGGACAGCAAGGGAGUAAUUUAACUUUUGCUUAAUGAUAACUUGGUUUUCUGGGACACUUGUCUAAAUCAAAGUUGUUGUAAACUUUAUGAACUAGCUGUAGUUCAAAUUUGGGAUCAAUUGGUCCAGUAGUUUAAAAGUUAUGGCUGUUCCAAGUUGGGUUCCAGAAAUAGGUGUUCUCUGUUUUUCUGGGACAGAACAUGGAACUUUGUUUAAAUGGCUUCUUUAACUUAUGAAUCUUGCUGUGAUGUUUAAAGAUGAUUUGUAGUCAAUUUCAUAAGCUUUCCAGAAUGUCCUCACUUAAAUUUGUUGAAUCUUUGUGGCAAUAGUUAUGAUCUGUUUUCUGAGCUAAUUCUGUUAUAUGUUGCUUGCUGUUAUAGGUUAUCAUGAUAGGUUUUGGGCUAAGUUAACUUGUUAACUUGUGUGAACUUGUUAUAACUAUUGCUCCGUAAAUGAGUGUCCAGUGGGUCACUUAUGUUAUCAAGGAUUCAUUCUUUUGUAUGCACACCUUCUCAUUCACCGAGCAUGCAAUAGGUGCAUCGGACGUGGCAGCCUCCUUCGAUCUGCAAGUGAACCCUGAAGGCCAGGAGGGCAGCCAGGAGGUGGAGGUCCAGCCAGUCGGACUCGAGGAGCCCGAAGAAGAAGUUGAGUGCCCGAACCACGAGCCAGCCUCGUUCGUGAAAGGCAAGCCCCGGAGCAUUCUAAGCCUCCCUUUACUUUCGAAAGUUUAUUUAAUAUGUUAUAUCUAUUGCUGCAUUAAGUAUAGGAGUUGUGAUGAAACCUUUGCUUCAUUUUACUCCAUCUUUGUCCAAAUAAUUUACCUACCUUGGUUGUAGAGUUAGGAUCAGGUAGCAGCUUAGCCAUGCUUAAUCGGUAGAAGUCGGGUGAUUUCCUGUCACCUGCGAUAUAGGGUUGUGUCGGAUCACGAUGGUCUAUAUGUGCUAUCGUGGAGGGAACCUGAUUAAAUUGACUUAAGCCGGGCGGAGUUUUGCAAGGUUGUAGUAACUCCAUCUGUGGCAGCUAAGGACCGACCGUUGUACGUCCUCUUGUCAUGUUGAACGCAUGCCUAACACUUAGUUGGCCGGAUAACUCGUUCCGACCACGAAGCCGAGUAGUAUGACUCAGGCCGGAAGACCGGCAAGUAUAAAGUGCGCACUACCGGAGGAAGUGCGGUGUGCGGGGGACCAUUGGCGUAAGCCCAAAGGCAGGUGAGUUAAAAUUCCUGACCUCCCUGGCAGAGUGGUAGCCCUGGGAAUGCGGCGCUGAUCGGAGCCGCGAUUCCUGAGUUGUACCAAAGGUGACCCGUUGGCUCUCCGACGGGGGAUGCUUGGGUGAGUGCUAGGAAUAACCUUCCAGCUGGAUAGGAAUUCGAUUUGAAUCGCCGUCUCUCCCAGUCAGUGAGAACUUGACAGAGCAGCGGCAAACGUAGCAUUCACUAAUGAACUUGGUUCAUGAUAAUGAUGAUAGCAAGGAAGAACAUAUGAUGAACUUGAUAUGGUUAUUAUUGCUUGUAAUAAUCAAGUGAAGUGCUUAGUACAGGUACUAAUCUAGCAGUAGGCUAAUGGUAAGUAAAUAUGAUGCUCUUACAAUGGGUUAGUCAUAAUAAAGGCUUUUGGCAAAAUGUCGAGUCAACCAGCUCUGCUUUUAUAUAUUAACCUUGCAUGAUCCUUGGUGUCUUUUAUGUUUUACUAGACGGGUAAGUCUAGCUGAGUACAAUCUCGUACUCAGGGUUUAUUCCCACCUGUUGCAGAUGACAUCUUUUAUGACGGCUUCUGCAAGACCUGUCUCCAUCCCGCUGGAGAUGAGGACUAACCGUUGGGCACGGAUCUCUAACAACCUCAUACCUGUUGCUUUUGGAGGGAUGAUGUAGUCUCUGGCAGUAACUCGAACUUAUGAACUGGACUUUGGAAAGUGUGUUUGUAACUAUUUUGCUUCCGCUACUUCGAACAUGUGUUGUAAUAACUUACUGACUCCGAUGUGGUGCCGCUUCGACAGCAAUGAAUGACUAUGUAACAUUCGCUGUGUUGUGCUAAAUUAUUACGAUCUUGGUUUGUUGCAAGUUGGUUUGAAGUCCUUCGUGAUUUCAAUUGACUAUCGGGAUUAUAUGGGCUCAAGUUUGGAAACUUGAUUGCUUGCCGAUCGUUUCUACACUUGAACUCUUAUAAUUUGGUCGGUUCUGUGACAGAGUCCCCACACUGCAAACAGCCAUGUGAUGGGGAUCAUCUAGAGACCGUGGGCGGGAAGAUGCAUCUGCUUGGCAUAAAAUUGACACCCAUGGCACGAGCGUACGAGCUCGAUGGCGUCAGCUACGGCCGUUGGCCAGUAGAAGCCUUGUCGAAAAGCGUUCCCUAUGAGGGUCCGCAGACCAGCGUGGUGGCCACAAGCCCCCGAGUGUAGAUACUCGAGGAGCUUUCGGCCUUCCUCUAUGGUGAUGCAACGCUGCAAGAUUCCUGUCGAGCUUUGUCGAUAUAGUUCAUUAUCUUCGCCGUAGGUUACGUACGACUUGGCCCGUCGAGCGAUACGGCGGGCCUCGGGUCGAUCUUCUGGUAGCUCGCACCGAAUGAGACAGUUGAGGAACGGCGUGCGCCAGUCGAACGGUCGACCGGGUCACUGUUCCGCCUCCAUUACUUGUGCUGCCGCUAGCAGUUCUUCGAUGACGUUGGUUUGUUGGAGGGUGGUGGUUUCGACGUCAGCCCCCGACGUAUGGCUCAUGCAGAUCUCUCGAGAACGCGUCAGGCGGGACCGUGCCUUGAGUCGAUGCGAUCUUAGCGAGUUCGUCGGCUACCUCAUUGUAGCAUCGGGCGAUGUGGACGAGCUCGAGGCCGUGGAAUUUGUCCUUGAGCUGACGUACCUCCUUGCAGUACGCCUCCAUUUUUGGGUCAUGGCAGUUGGAGGCUUUCAUCACUUGGUCGAUGACGAGUUGGGAGUCGACUCGAACGUCGAGGCGCCGAACUCCUAGCUCGAUGGCGAUCUUCAGCCCAUUGACCGGGGCCUCAUAUUCCGCAACGUUGUUGGAUGCAGCAAAAUGUAACCUGAUGACAUACCUCAUAUGAACGCCCAGGGGCGAGAUGAAUAGCAGGCCCGCCCCAGCUCCUGUCUUCAUGAGAGACCCGUCGAAAUACAUCGUCCAUAGUUUCGCUUGAACUUGAGUCGGGGGGAGCUGGGAGUCCGUCCAUUCCACGACGAUAUCCACCAGAGCUUGAGACUUGAUAGCUUUGCGGGGCGCAUAAGUGAGGGUCUCACUCAUGAGCUCGACCAACUAUUUGGCGAUUCUUCCCGUGGCCACCCGACUUUGGAUGAUCUCACCCAAGGGGAAGGACGAGACCACCGUGAUAGGGUGGCCGAGGAAGUAGUGUUGCAGCUUGCGUCGGGCGAGGAUCACCGCGUAGACUAGUUUCUGGAUCUGCGGAUAUCGUGCGUUGGUCUCUGAGAGUACCUCGCUGACAAAGUAGACCGGCCUCUGGACCGGCAGCGCAUGUCUUCUUCCUGCCUUUCGACCACCACUGCCGCACUGACCACCUGGGUCGUCGAGGCGACGUACAGAAGCAGAGGUUCUGCGGGCUGAGGUGGGACCAGGACCGGGGCAGAGGUCAGCAUUUUCUUCAGGUUAUCGAGGGCUUCCUCGGCUUCGGGGGUCCAAGAGAAACACUCGGUUUUUUCAAGAGCCGAUAAAGUGGCAAUGCUUUUUCUCCCAACCUUGAGAUAAAACAGCUUAGCGCCGCUAGACAUCCCGUGACUUUUUGCACUCCCUUGACGUCUCAGAUCGGCCCCAUUGUCACAAUGGCCGAGACUUUUUUGGGAUUGGCCUCGAUGCCGCGUUGGGAAACUAUGUAACCCAGGAGCAUGCCUCGAGUUACGCCAAAGACGCACUUCUCAGGGUUGAGCUUGAUCUUGUUAGCGCGUAAGCAACUGAAAGCGAUCUCGAGGUCCUGAAUCAGGUAUCCUCAUUUCUUUGACUUGACAAUGAUGUCAUCGACGUAUGCCUCGACCGUCGAUCCUAUAUGUUUGCCAAACACGUGGAGCAUGCAUCGCUGGUAUGUUGCUCCUGCGUUUCGAAGCCCAAACGGCAUGGUUACAUAACAGUACAUCCCAAAAGGCGUGAUGAAAGAUGUCGCGAGCUGGUUGGACUCUUUCAUUUUUAUUUGAUGGUAACUAGAAUAUGCAUCAAGGAAAGAAAGGGUUUCGCAUCCCCCAGUAGAAUCAACAAUUUGAUCGAUACGUGGUAAUGGAAAAGAAACUUUUGGACAUACUUUAUUUUAACUUGUAUAAUCGACAUACAUCCUUAUUUUCCCAUUUUUUUUCUUAACUAGUAUAGGGUUUGCUAACCAGUCGGGAUGGUGAACCUCCUUGAUGAAUCCGGCCAUCAAAAGCUUGUGGAUCUCCUCACCAAUGAUCUUGCGUUUCUCCUCGUCGAAGCGAUGCAACCGUUGUUUCACUGGCUUGGAACCGGCUCGAAUUUCUAAGGAGUGCUCGGCGACUUCCCUUGGUAUGCCUGGCAUGUCCGAGGGUCUCCAUGCAAACUUGUCAGCGUUUGCACGGAGAAAGUCGACGAGCACGGCUUCGUAUUUGGGGUCGAGGUCGGCGCUGAUCUUCCGCACCUUGCCGUCGGAGUUGUUGGGGUCGAGUGGGAUCUUCUUCGUUCCUUCUGCCGGCUCAAAGCUGCCUGCGUGACUCUUGGGCUCUAGAAAAUCUGCGGCCAGGGCUUCAAGCUUCAAGGCGAGCUCAGUGGAUCUCUCGACAGCUUCCCCAUACUCGACGCACUCGACGUCGCACUCGUAUGCGUGCUCGUAGGAGGAGCUGACGGUGAUGACGCCCUUGGGUCCGGGUAUCUUCAGCUUCAGGUAGGUGUAGUUGGGGAUAGCCAUAAGCUUGGCAUAGCCCGAGUGCCCGAUGAUGGUGUGGUACGUGCCUCAGAAUCCCACCACCUCAAAGGUGAGGGUCUCCUUUCUAAAAUUGGCCGCUGUGGCAAAACAGACCGGUAAGUCGAUUCGACCUACCGGCAGCGCCUUCUUUCCUGGUACGACACCAUGGAAUCUGCCGACGCUUGGUUGGAGUUGCACCCUUUUGAUGCCGAGAAGGUCGAGGGUCUCACGGUAUAUGAUGUUUGUUGAUAUUUGGUAACACAAUAAGGAAAUGAUCCGCAAGCGCACGGAUAUCGGUGAGCAUUUCACCUAGGAGGUUUUCCAGAGUAUCGUAUUUAUAUUUUUACCACUAGGAGAAAGGGUGCAUCUGACUAACCAAAUCAAUUGCUACUAUCUCUUUAGGCUACAAAGAAUGUUUCUCGAUGUGAGUGAUGUAUAGAAAAGACUGCAACCAUAGUCUCGUUCUAAUCUUGGUAAGGAUGAUCUACUGUUUUAUUGGGGAAGCUUACGGAAUCUAGACACCACAAAGGAUGUUCGACCCGCACCUAUAAACCCUACCCAUCCUGCUAACAAGAUGUGGGAUACAAAGGGAACUCGGAAAUGUCACGUUCCUCGCUACUACCACGGUCCAGCUAGUCAGGGGAUAUCUAUGAGUACCCUAGCCUAAACACCACGUUUACGCUAGCAAUGAUUACUCAAAUACUCAAUCGGAAGAGGAUUAAAGUAAACUCAUAAACCAAAGAACAAUAAAACAAGAACUUACUAGAAUUAGAAGUCGAAUUACUGAAGAAUCUUAGGAGCAAGCCUCGGGUUAGAAGACUUGAUCCCGCAGGUACAACCUCGGAGUAGACACCGACAGGCCGGCCUUCCUCCGAUCUACACCUCCACUCUACCUCUCUCAAUCUAGUAGAAACUAGAAGAUCUAAUUCUACUCACAUUGGAUGCUAAGCCUAAAAUAAAUUUUAUUUAGAGGAGAGGUAUUCCUUUGAGGGCUCCUCUCAACUCUAUGAAAAACUUGUCUCCUCCAGGGGCCAGGGGGUCUGGUUUUAUAGUCCCCUCAAGUGAACCUAGGCCGUCAGAUCAAACCGACAUUGUUUGGACGGUUAUCCUUGAUCCUUUAGGUCGGUGGAGAGUAAUCCUCGAAGAGAGUCCUGUUUGGACUCCAAGUCAGGGCGGGCGCCCAGGGAAGGAGGGCGGGCGCCCUGCCUCUGGGCCCUUUCGGCCUCUACUUCCUUCCUGUGGCUUCUGGAGUCUUCUAGAUGGUAGAAAAUUGCGUUAUGCAUUGAUAUCUAUAUGUAAUCCCAACAUGUGGGCCUUUCUUCCGUAUUUCCUGAUAACCCCCUGCAAAAAUAGACAAACACCAAAACUCGUGGAAUUCUGUCAGAUAAAACCCUAAGUCUAGGUGUUGGUUGCAUUUGGAUCCUUUUCUUUAUUUAUUUGAUGAUUAUAUUUGGUACUUAAGGACCGUCAACAACUCCCCCAAGCUUACCUCUUGCUCGUCCCUGAGCAAGGAUGAACUCAAGAGUUUCUGCAGUGGUUUCAUGCCUUAAAAUUAAGAUCUUAUCUCUGAGUUAGAGUAAACUGUUAAGACUUAAAACUUACUCAUCUUACCUUUCAACAUUAGAACCGUCAAGUCAAGCGCCAUGUCUCUUAUUCUUGAUCAGCUAUAGCUCUGGAGUUUUUGCAGAUUUUCAAAUAAAACUCAGAGAUUCCUUGUAUGACUCUCUCAGAUCUCUCUUUUGUGGUAUUUCUGGAUCCUUACCAAGGCAGUAAUGGUAUAUGCCAUCUCUCAAAGUAUGUAGUAUUUGUGGUAUGAGGCAUAGUGAUAGUGCCUUCUCCCUCACCCUACUCUAAUAAGGUUUUGAUAUCUGGAGCUCAUAGGUGGGAGGCAGAUAGUACAUACUUACAAGACAUUUAUUGCAUAGUCAAACCAAGGAUCCAUAGAAACAAGCCAAUAAGUCAAAUCAAGAUGUGCAUGUGUAGCGAGUGAAUGGUGUAUGGUGAUGAUGGUGAUAACAAUGGUGAAAAUCUAAUUCUACUUUUGCUCUUUUGUGGGGAUACAUACCUUUCUUGCACUUUGAAGCUUUUUGGGGAGAAUGAGAUGCUCUAUAUUUUCUUUUUCUUUUCUCUCAGGUGGAUAUCUUGUACCUCUAAUUCUACUGUCGGGCACUAGUCCAUUUUUACCUCUCGUCUCACUUUUUCUUUUCUUCGAGGUUCCAGGCACUUGCCCCUUUUUAUUUCCUCGUAUCCUCUCUCUUUUUUUAGAGCACUCACCUCCUGAAAUAAUAUAGCAAGUGGUAGUAACCAAGAUAACUCUUGCAUUUAUUUCACAGGGAAUAAUAGUGAUAGGAAAAUAUUUUUGGCUAUUCUCUCCUGGAUAGGAGUAGAAUAAUUUUGGGUGGCUCUGGAGAUGGAAGUGAGUGGAUAUAUGUGGAUGCGUACUUCCGGAGUAGAAGCAGCAUGUAUGAGUGAAUGUGCAAGUGAAUCUUGAUUUUAACCACAUGACUAGCUCCUAAGGGUCUACACAGCUUGACCACACUCAAUGCUCAUAAGCAGUAAAAAGUAAAUGUGUGGCUCAAAGUCUAGCAAGCAUGUCUAUAUGGCUGUGGUAGGAUUUUAAACUCUCAUCAUACAAGAACUCAUCAUGUGAUAUUUUAAAGAUUUUUCAAAGAUAAAAUUCUCCAGAAUUCUAGCAUCUCUAGGAACAGAUAAACAGCAGCUCAACCUUCCCAUAACACAUCCGUUAACAACUUAGACUUUAGAUAAAGUACUCUUCCCACAAGUUCAGGUUUAGAGCAAAUUUUAAUUCAUAACAGUAUGCGUAAACUUGAGAGAGAUUUCAAUUUUGAGAACUAGUCAUGGCAGAGCAACUAUUCAUCAUUUCCAUGUGAGAGCUUAUCACGAGGGUUCAUAGCAAACUUUAUUUAUUUAUUUAUUUAGCAAACUAAGCAAAGAUAUAAAAGCACAAAAUCUUUAUUUGGGUUUUUUUAUUAUGCAUCUUUUUAUUAUUUGAGUAAAGUAUAAACACGAGUAGAAACACAUAGCUGGAUAAAUGGGGGUGCUCUCCCUCAAGCUAGAUUUUGACGUAAUUUCUUCUGAUGUAGCUAGCAGGUGGCGGAGGUGUAUUUGAAUGUCAGCAGAACCCUGACAGCGAGUAGGAUGUCCUCCGUCUGCUAGUCUUCUUUGAUCCUUGAAUUCUGUGGAGCUCAAAUAGACAACAAAGUUUGUGGAACUGAUUAGGUGUUAGCAUAAAUAUCUAGCCUUUAUCAUGUUGAGCCUCCUCGAUAAAUAUUAUUUAUUUAGCAGGAUCAUGCACUUAUUAUUUUUAACAUUUUUAUUAUAAGAUGAAAACAUAUUUAUUUUAUGCCACCAUAGUUAAUGUACCUAUGGGUUUUAUGCCAUGAGCAUACUCACAUGGGGCUUACUAUUUUUUAACAUUUUUAUUUUCCUUUCGAGAUGAUAUGAACCUGAUUAACUAAGCAAACUAUUGAAAGGAAAAGGAUAACUAGCAAGUUUACCUCUUGGCAAGGCGUUCGGUGUUUUUAAGUCCUCCGAAUGGGACUCUCCGUUUUCUCAGUCGUCCUGGGAUUCGCUGGAUGGUGUAGUUGGUGGUUCCGGCGGCGCCUCUUCUUCGUGUAUAACUAUCUUCUCUCUCCAUACCAGACUCGGUGCUACGGUCUCCUCAGGACAGUUCUGUUCAAGCUGUAUGUCUUCAGACCUUAUCACUUCUCCUUUGUAAUCUACCCAUCCGUCCUUGAUGAUUUGCCUCCUCUGGUUUCGGUUGUGUCGCCUUCUUCUUGUCUGACCUGCUUAGAGUCUUCAACUAUAUAGUUAAGGUGAGUAAAAUAGCGGCGUACCUUCUCAGAUGGGAAGUGCAUGUGGACUUCUCCAAUUCCAAUAUAGAUGAUGGCUUUGAUAGUGUUGAGGAACGGUCUUCCAAAGAUGAUGGGUGGAUCGUACUCGUUUUCUCCUAUGUCAAUGACCUGAAAAUCAUCUAGAGCUGAAUGUAUGUUGGUUAUGGUUCCAUGCAGGAGCUGAUAAGUGACUGCGGCCAUUAUGUUGACGUAGAUCCGGUGUCGUAGAGUGUCUUCUUAAAAGAGUAUCCAUUGAUUGUGCACUCGAUGCUUGGAACACCAGGGUCGUCCUUCUUGAUCAGGAAAGGCGACUUGAGUCGAUGAUGUUGACCUCUUCCGAUAAGGAUCCAAUGUUUUAAGUCUUCUGGACAAGACUUCUCACCGUCUUCAUCCUUUAGGUGCAUCAUUUGAUUAGGUGUGGACCUUGACGUCUGCACUUCUUGAUACGGUGUCACCCAUGUUCUUCGUUUGCCUAGUAGUUCAAAGUGAAGUGUUGGCAAUAUCCUGCUUAGUGUGUUUGUGCUCGUAGAUCCAGAUCCUUCACUUGGUGUAGUCUGGGAGUUGUAAAACUCCUCCAUGUUUUGCUUGAAGUGUACCUGUUCAUAGAGACAAGGCAGAGAUCAAGUGCAUGGGCCCUGUUGGUGAAAAACACAAACAAAACCAAAAGUGUAUUUGUUCUUCUUUAACCUUAAGCAUAGUGAGCAAGACAAAGUUGAUGGAUCAUGAGUAUAGCAUGUGUCAGAUCAGAUGGCUCAACCUAAUGGAAAGAUAAUCUAUCUAUAUUUAUGUUUUGUUUAUAUCUUCCAAAUAUUGAAUGUGCAACAUUUUAGCUUAUAUGAUUAGGAGUGUGGGAUCACGAAGGUAGUACUAAGAACAAAGAUUAAAGGACUAAACAUGUUGAAUUAAUUGGGUUGGUUAAUUUGAAGUUACAAAUCAUACAUGUUUGUCUCUUUAUUUUAUGUGAACGCCAGAAUCAAGGAGAAACUUAUAAAAGCAAUAGUCAAGUACCUUAAGAUGUUACCUUAGUUGAAGAGUGAUGGUAUAGUAUCACUUUGUGGAAGCUUUCCUUUCUUAGCGGUUGUGCACUGUGUUUGUGGCAUUCUUUGUCUCGUUCCAUGAAUCAUCUCUUUAUGAUGAAUGAGCUAUGUCCUUCUUGUGCAAAUUGUUAAACUUCAUGUGUCUCCUUUAUCUCCAAUGUGAGUUUGUAUCUCAAGACUUCCCUGGUUGAUAUUGAAAGUUUUCCUACAGGGGUUAGUCCAACAAAAUAUCCAAUAUCUACUAUAGCAUACUAUUGGCUCAAAAAUCAACCUAGACACCAUGUCUAAUUUGAUUUAGGAGGGCAUUUUAACCUAAGAACCAUGCUUAAUUGAAAAAUCCUUUGGAAAUAAGAUCAUCAUUCCUAAACUAAGCACCAUGCUUGAUUUAAGAGAUAAAUGAAACUACUCCAAACCUAGACAUAUACUAAAGCAAAUAAAGGUGGCAUGAGAGCAUUUAUAGAGAUCUACUCAAGUGAAGGUGAAGUAGUGUAAUUAGUAUUUAACAAAUUGAGCAUGUCUCAAAGGUAAGGACAACCAACAUAGCAACAUGGCAAAUGAUGUUUUUAUGUAAAGUACUCCCACAAGCUUGAAUUUUGCAAAAUUCAAGAUUGGAUGAAUUUAAUCCAAUGUUGUGUGAUGGUUGGUUGGAGAUACGUUGUGCUUGUCAUUCAUCCAAUCUUCUUGCUCCAAUCGUGGAAAGGUUAGUGACAAGAGUACCCGAAGGAAUAUUUCUACAAUUAUCUUUAUAUGCUCAAUACAUAAGGCAAUGUUGCAAAUAAUUAGAAGUUCAUGUUACAAUCUGAUAAGUGCUUGUUUUAGGAUACUAAGCUCGUCCUUGGGAAACCAUCAAUCAACUCAACGAGAUCUGCAAUAUUUAUUAUAGACAUAUGCAUCGACAACCACCCCUUUAAAGUUUUUAUAAAUAGAAAGGAAGAGAGGGUUGGAGAUCUCAAAUGUGGUGAGGAUGGAGAGACCAAUUGAUUGGUGAGAUGUUUUAUGUGAGCAAGGACUUGGUGAGAUAUUUAUGAAAUAACUUCCAUGCUCGCUGUUGUUUCUCUCAUUCUCAAACUCCAAGGAUGAAUCUUCAUGAAUGUUUAAAAUUCCUCUAGGAUUGUCUCUCAAGUUUGUUUUAUCUAUCCAUUCAAUGGUGAUAGCACAUGGAUUUUUAAUGCCUUCUAGCCAUUGAUGUUGCUUUUCUCGAUCCUCCUUGUGGUCUUGGUGACUCUUAUGAAUGGGAUUUCUAGAGAGAUUCAUAGGAUCAUCAGGAGGUUCAAGAGAAAGAGAAGAGUAGAAAUUAUUAAGCUCAAGGAUGGGUUGGAUAGCCGAAUCAUGGGAUUGAAAUGUUUGGAAAUUGGCUAUGGAAACUUCCUUUCCUUGUUUGGGAGAUGAUUCCUUCUCUAUCUCUAAGAUUUUUCUAUGAAGACUAGUACAAGAAGGAUGUCCACGAAUGAAGAUAUACCUUGCUUUACUAACAGAUAAAGAAAGAAAAACUCUAUUGAAGGGUAUAUGAUUAAGACCAAUGUGAAAAUAUCGAGAAAAAACAUGGUCUUGUAGGGCUAGGUUUAAACCAGAAUUUAUAGAAAGAUUAACAGAUUCCCUAGGUGUAGAAAAGGGUUGGUUUUGACCUAUUGCAGUCAACUCCGGACACAGAUCAUAAUUAGGGGCAGGACUUGUUGACUCCCAUGGUCUAUGGCUGGUCUCCGAAGGUGCAAAGAAUUCAAUAAUAGGUAUGGAAUUUAAGUUAUCCAUAAAGUUAAAAAUAAAAAGAUAAAAGAAUAAAAGUAUAAAAGUAUAAUACAAGAUAAUAGCAAGACUCAAAGUUAUCUCAGCAAACCGUCUUUCUCCCCGGCAACGGCGCCAGAAAUGCUUGUUGAUAUUUGGUAACGCAAUAAGGAAAUGAUCCGCAAGCGCACGGAUAUCGGUGAGCAUUUCACCCAGGAGGUUUUCUAGAGUAUCGUAUUUAUAUUUUUACCACUGGGAGAAAGGGUGCAUCUGACUAACCAAAUCUAUUGCUACUAUCCCUUUAGGCUACAAAGAAUGUUUCUCGCUGUGAGUGAUGUAUAGAGAAGACUGCAACCGUAGUCUCAUUCUAACCUUGGUAAGGAUGAUCUAUUGUUCUAUUGGGGAAGCUUACGGAAUCUAGACACCACAAAGGAUGUUCGACCCGCACCUAUAAACCCUACCCGUCCUGCUAACAAGAUGUGGGAUACAAAGGUAACUCGGAAAUGUCACGUUCCUCGCUACUACCACGGUCCAGCUAGUCAGGGGAUAUCUAUGAGUACCCUAGCCUAAACACCACGUUUAUGCUAGCAAUGAUUACUCUAAUACUCAACCGAAAGAGGAUUAAAGUAAACUCAUAAACCAAACAACAAUAAAACAAGAACUUACUAGAAUUAGAAGUCGAAUUACUAAAGAAUCUUAGGAGCAAGCCUCGGGUUAGAAGACUUGAUCCCGCAGGUACAACCUCAGAGUAGACACCGACAGGCCGGCCUUCCUCCGAUCUACACCUCCACUCUAUCUCUCUCAAUCUAGUAGAAACUAGAAGAUCUAAUUCUACUCACAUUGGAUGCUAAGCCUAAAAUAAAUUUUAUUUAGAGGAGAGGUAUUCCUUCGAGGGCUCCUCUCAACUCUAUGAAAAACUUGUCUCCUCCAGGGGCCAGGGGGUCUGGUUUUAUAGUCCCCUCAAGUGAACCUGGGCCAUCAGAUCAAACCGACAUUGAUUGGACGGUUAUCCUUGAUCCUUUAGGUCGGUGGAGAGUAAUCCUCGAAGAGAGUCCUGUUUGGACUCCAAGUUUGGGCGGGCGCCCUGCCUCUAGGCCCUUUCGGCCUCCGCUUCCUUCCCGUGGCUUCUGGAGUCUUCUAGAUUGUAACACCCUCGGUGUUAAGCAUGCACUUAGUCUUAUCAAAGUCAUGCAUAAGCAUUCCCAUCAAGCAUAAGCAUCAUGAGCAUGUCAUUCUUUUCAAAAUAUGAUUUUAUGUGCUUCAUUUCAUGAGUUUUAAAUAUGCUAAAACUAUGAUACUUGCUUCUAAAAUUUGUGAAAUAUUCAAACUAGGUUGAUUUAUGUGUAAGAAGAAUUUAGAGUAUUUUUGUGUAAUUUUUGGAGCUAUAGAAUUUGAGAAAUGGAAUUUAUACAAAAUAUCCAAAAAGAAUUUAUUUAAAACCUAGAACUAAGUUUUGAUUUGUAAUUCAAAUUCUAUUUAGAAUUUUGUCUCGCUUAUUAAAGCAAAGUUGUAGAGUUUUUAGCUUGGAACAACUUUGCCUUUCGGAGAAAGUGGUGAAAAUGAUUUGAAAAUAGCCAAAAUGAAUUGAGAACAGAAUUUGAGAAAAGAAAUUCAAAAAAAAUAUAUAGAAAAGGGAAAAGGGGGCGCUAGCAGGCCGCGGCCUCACUUCUGGCCCGCUGGCCGAAGCCGGCCCGGCCCGCCCGCGCCUUCCCCUUCCCCUUCCCCGCGCUCGCGCCCGCGUCCGCGCGCGGACGGCCGCUCGGUGCCGCCGUGGCGCGCCGGCAGAGCCUGGCCGCCGCGUGGCGAGCAUGCGGCAGCGAGGACGCGUCCCGGUCGGCCACCAGAAGCGCUCGGCUGCACCCGCCUCUGCCCCCUCUUCCAUUCGCGCCCCUCGGCCCUCGCUCUCUCGCUCUCUCGCCCUCGCUCUGCACGCGCAGAGCGCCGCCGUCGCCAUUGGAGCCCGAGCUCCGCCUCGGCCGUUCCUCCCCCGUGCGUGCGCCAUUCUGCGAUUAGUUCUCCCCCGAGCUCCGCCCUCGCUCCGCCGUUGCGGAACACCCGUCCGAGCGCUCGGUAGGGCACGGUGAGCCCCCGGUCGCUCUCGUUUCCUUCUCCAGCGAGAGCUCCGCCGCCGCGCACGUGAUCCGCGCGUCUCCAUGCCUUCCGGUGCUGCGUAGUUGGCGCACUGUGCUCGCCUUGGCACCGCGAUGCUCACGAGCCACUCCAGCCACGCUCUACUGGGCCAGCGUCCCGUGCCGACGGUGAGCAGCGCCGCCGCUCCGCCAUGGCCGGUGGCGAGCCUGCUCUGGUCCGUUUUAGGCCACGCAAAUGGGUGCGCUAGGUCCGCCGUGAGCCGUAGAGCGUGUAGAGCCGCUUGAUUCGCCGAAAGGGGUCGCCGACGGUGAGCUCCGGCCUCCCGUCUGCGUCCUGACCAGUGGGCCCGGCUGGCAGGCGGGUCCGCUCGUCAGCGACCGCGGGUGCACUGCACCGGGUGCACCUAGCCGUCUCGGGGUGGAUGACAGGUGGGGUCAUCUGACUCGCGUGUCCCGCCUGUCAGUGACUCCGAGGGUUUGAAUCCGAGUGCGCUUAGCGUUUUAGGUUGUUUUCCGUUUUAAAAGUUUUUCUAGAAAAUGGGUUAUGUAUUCAAAAAUCCAUAUCUUGAGGAAUAUAGCUCCAAAAAUUGUGAAAUAAAUUUUGGUGUGUUCCCUAUUUCCAGAUCUAUAGCCUAGUAUGUCUGCAUGUCAUGUUUGAGUAACUUUUCUGUAUGAAAAUAUUUAAUCCAUGUUUUUGCUAAACUUGGAAAAUGCAUAGUAAAUAAAAUAUGGCUCAGAAAAAUGUGAAAUUUGUUUUGUUGGCUCUGCAUGUGUGUUUACUCACUGGGAAAAUAUUGUUACAUAUUAUUUGGUGUAUAAAUGAAUUUAUGGUAAUUUAAAUGCUUGCAUGGCAGUGAUUUAUGAUUUUUAAUAAUUAAUUGGGUCAUGCAAUAAAUCUGGAAAAUUUUGUGGGUAUUUCUUAUGAUAUUAGACAAAUGGUAAAAAUAUGAAAUCUGUUGUUUGACAUUUAUAUCAUUUGGAGUAAUUAUACUUACUUUAUUAAUUAAUCUUGUUAUUUUUGUGGCUCAAAAUAAGUAUCCAAAAAUUAUGAAUGGUUGUGUAUAUAGGUUGAAUGGAAUAAGUUGGGUUUGGUGUAUCUUUGAAGCAUCAUGUGGGUUGCUGGUUGCAUUUGAAAAAUAAUUGUAGAAGAGAAUGCAAUAGAUGUUUGAUUCAGUUGAUUGCUCUUGGAGGUUGUUGACUACCUUGUAAUGAGCAUGACCAAGCGUAUCACUUAUGCAUCAUGUCAUGACUCCUUUAGUACCUUCUCAUACAAGCAUCCACUCGGGCACCUCGCACUCCACUCAUAAGCACACAUGCAUCAUACAGGCUCGCAGGAGAACGAAGUGGGACCCGAGGAGCCAGAGGAGAGUCAGGAGCAGGAACCUCCGGAAGCACAGGAACCCGGAGAGGAACUGCAGGAGUGUCCAGAUCACCGACCCAGCACGUUUGAGAAAGGCAAGCCCCGGAGCAUUCUAAGUCUCCCUAUUCUCGCUAACUUAUACAAAGCACUAUACUUGUUCUACUAUAUUGCAUUUAAGUGAUAGGAAUUGCUCGAUACCGUUGAUGCAUAUGUACUUCUUGUUAUCCUUACUCGUUCACCUACCUUGUCCUAUGUAGAUAGGCACGGAGUCUAUGCUUAGCUUGCUUAGUCCGGUAGAAGUCGGGUGAUUCCCUGUCACCUGCGAGAUAUAGGUGGAUACCUGCUUGAUUAAGCAGUAGUUGCUUGGGGAAAGGAAUAACCAAGUGUGGAAUGUAAUUGGAGACCGGGCAGGGUCUUAUGGUGGGUUGACCGUAGUGCCCCUGCCUGUGUCGAUUAAGGACCGAUCGUUGACGGCCCUCUUGUCAUGUUUAACGCAUGCCCCACAUUUAGCUGGAAGGAUAAGUCAUUCUGACCGCGAAGCCUGCGCACUAUCCGGGCCGGGAAUCGGCCCGAUGUACGCGCUGUAUUGGUGAUGGUUGAGGAGAACGACGAGGGCGCGGCGCGCAACCUUGGUAUACCUUGGAUACCUCGGUCGCCGGAACGGUCCUCGGGUACGGGCGGUGCCUGUCGAACCCGCGAAUUGGUCCUGGAUAGUGCAAUACGGUGAUCUGUAGCUCACUUGAUCAGUGAGUGUGGUUUGUGUGGGGAAUAAACUCGCCAGCUGGUUAGAAAUCGAUUCAAAUCGCCAUCGCUCCUGGAUAGUGAGCACUUGACAUGAGCCCUGUCCUCGUAGUAAGGACUAUGGAACACUUGGGUUAUAAUGAUGAAUGGUUUUAAGAAAUGCUAUGAUGAGGUACUAUCAUAGUCUUAUACUUGCUUGUAAUAGUGCAGGUGCAAACCUAGAUGAUAGGUAAUGAUACUUUCAACUUGAGCAAAUUAAAAGAAGAAAGACUUAUGUAGGUUAUGAUAGUGAAAUACUGCGGUUUUGCAAAAUGGUUGUCAGCUACCCCACUAUAUAGCCUUCAUGAUCCUUGAUGAGUCUUUAUUUUAAGUUUAUGACGGGUAAGUCUAGCUGAGUACCUUCUCGUACUCUGGGUUCUACUCCCAUGUUGUUUUGUAGAUGGUCAAAUGUAUUAUGGUUAUUGCAUCCUCUGUCUGUACCCAGCCAUGGGUGAUGACUAGACCAAGGGCGAUGGUCACUCCAUCUUCUCUUUUGCUUUUGUGACAAUGACCGAACUAUGGCACUGUAUCAGACUAAGUGUGUGUGUUGUAUUUUCGAAUUAUGAAGCUUCCGCUACUUGAAGAACUUGGUAUUGUAAUAACUUUAAGUACUCCGAUGUAUUUUAUAAAUGUUGUAAUCUGGAUGUAUUGUGGAUGGCGACCGCUAAACUUAUUACGAUCUUGGCUGUUGUACGAUGUGUGGUUUGAAAUCCUUCGAGAUUUCACGGACUACCGGGAUUAUAUGGGCUUAAGCCUGAUGGUUUGACUAUGCAAAUGGUCACUGUUAGGCUUAAUCUCUUAUAAUUUGGUCGGUUCUGUUACAGCUGGCAUCGGAGCAAGGUUUAGCGAGUUACUGUUCAUAAGUACGUUCUAAACAAAAUCUAAACCGGUCUAAUGAAGGAUUUUAGUAAUUAAUAAAAAUCAAGGUGUUAAACUAAUUUUUGGAAAACUAUCUAGUGUGCCAUGGUCAUAUCCUUUAUGCCCAGUUAAGGACUCUAAGGUGGCUAGUUAAGUACUGACUUGGGGGUGAAUGCAUCAUAUUUUUGUUUCAUCGCUCAUACGGCGUGCAAUAGUAUGAGUGCCAUUCAUUUGAGUGGUAAUGUAUGGAUCCAUUUUUCCUCUACGCCACGGUAAGUGGGAGCUGUGAGAGCAUGAUCGGAUACACUGCCGGUCUAGGGGAGUGUUGCUAGGUAUUGUGUCAUGCACACAUGUUGGUGUGUCUUGGGAACAGUACCGCAUGUUGCGAAUUCCGUCCUGAGAGGCGAUGCCGUCAAUAGGGCGAUGAUGUGGGUAGUGACACGUCACAUGCAUGGACGGGUGUUUGUGUAUGUGAAGUGCAUAGUUAAAAAUUCUUGUUCUGCACGAUCAUACUGUGGGUGGGCUGAAAUGAGUUUUCUGCAGGUACACUAACCACGUUCUCGCUUAGAACGCUAGUUACGUUAUGAGAGAACGUUGUGUGCCACCGCAUAUACCGCUUAGUGUUAACCUUUGUUUCUAAGUUCGUGAGAUCGUAAGUUCGUGCAUGCGUCAUGUUCAUUUCAUAUCAUUGCUUACUUUCCCCCUUAAUUUAAUCUGUCCCAAUUCUAAAUAAAAUAAUUAAAGUUAAUCCUCGCUCUUACCCACAAUAUUCCAUUUGCAGCAGAUGGCACGCACUAGGCUCACCGCUCGCAAGUCCACUGGUGGGCGGGCCCCUCGCCAUCCGUUGGCAGCUAGGAGCUCGCGACAUAAGAGCAAGUUCCUAGAGUAGUUUGGGAUGCCCACUUUGCUUUAUAGGGUGCUCAGUUCGAUGGGGUAUCCCGAAGAAAGGGAGCCUCGCUACUAUUGGGAUAAGGAGCCGCUUGGUGACGAGACCUUGGUGGGGAUUGAGGCAGUUGUCCCUACCAGUGGAGGAGACCCUGCUUGGGGCGGUUGGGUGUACGAGUCCCGAGGUGUCACGCCUUUCCACGGUGCCAGCAGGGCAGCUUUCGUAGUUCUGAGGGACCUCAUGGAGAGGUUUCCCCAGGAGCUGGCCCACGCCUUCGCGGGGGUGUUUCCCCGGGGUGACCCCUACACUUCGGUGUGGGAUCAGUCCGAGGUGAAUGCUCUAGAGAGGAGUGCGGAUGAGGACCAGCACAGUGACAGUGCAGCUAUGAGUGCCAUGUACGCGUUGAUGAAGACCUAUGGAGGCCUAGAGCGUUGUUUGGGUCGCUUGUCCGGGUCUCUUCUCACCGUCCAGGAUGAGAAGCAUCAGUUGCAGCGUGAGUUCGACUCUGAGGUUGAGAGGCUAUAGGCAGAGUUGGCCCGUGUGACCAGAGAGAGACUAGGCAGUCCAGAAGAAUAGUGAGCUGAGUCAGGAUCUGCUUGCAGUACGGGAGCAGAAGGACAGGGUGACUACUGCUCACAGGAACAGCGAGCGCAUGCUAGUCCAUGUGCUUGGACAGAGGAAUGAAGCCUGGCACGAGGAGGACACUUUGAGGGCCCGACAGCUGGAGCUAGAGCAACAGCUAGCUAAUGCUGAGGAGUACAAUGAGAACUUGCAUGAGGAGAUCCACCAGCUGCAUAACCAGCUCCACCCUCACCACCUGCCUGGAGCAGCGGAGCUAGACUCUGGAGACGAGAUGGACGCGGAUCCCGAGAUAGGAGCAGCUGCUAGUGGAGAUGAGGAUGAGGAUGGCUCCGGCAUGGACAGUGACCAUAGCGAGCAGAUGCUAGGGCUCUAGAGCUAGUCCUUCUUCUUAUGUUGUUGUAUGUUGCAUGGCAUGUCGUGUACUUUUGGAUCUGGGCUAUGUAAGACUUUAUGAGUUAAUGCUGAAAGUCCAGUGUAUGUAUGCUGGCAAGUUGGAUGUACGCGAACCUUGUUGCGUGAAUGUUGAGUAAUCUGUUAGUGAUGUUGUGCGUAGAUGAUGAAUUGUUGUGCCUCUGUUUAUUGUGCGAAUUUAUUCCCUCAGUAAAUUCAGUACGGCAUGAUUCUACACAUUUCUACCGAUUGAUGGCAACUCCUAACGAUUGCUUAUCAUUGGCGUAUGCAGAUGGUGCAAACACGUGGCGGGGGUAACAGCAAUCCGGGUCUUGGAGCAGGUACAUCCGGAGGUGGGGCUCAACGGAAUGAGGACAGAGCACCAACACCGCCCCCACCACCGCCUCCUCCGUACACUGCGGACGUGUUUUUCGCGCAGUUUCUGGGGAGCCAACGCAACAUGGAACAGAUGCAACGCAACAUGGAAGAGGCUCUGCGCAACAUAGCUGACAACACCUGUCGUGGGGAUAACCAGGGCGGCCGUGAAGUCAACCAGUACAGUUCGUUCAAGGACAUCAUGGAUACCAAGCCACCAAUCUUCAAAGAGGCUUUGGAACCGCUCGAAGCAGAUGAGUGGAUCAACACCAUGGAGCAGAAGUUUCGUCUUCUCCAAAUGACAGAAGAACUCAAGGCUGAGUAUGCGGCACAUCAGUUGCAAGGACCUGCUGGGAUUUGGUGGUCCCAUCACCGUACCACCUACCCAGAGGGGACCCAAUUACCUGGAACCGCUUCACCACCGCUUUUCGGGGAAAUUAUAUUCCUCCGGGUGUGGUUGAAAUUAAGGUUGGGGAGUUCAUGAGGUUGUCCAAGGGAACGAAAUCGGUAAAGGAGUAUCUACAUGCUUUCAAUAAUCUCGCUCGCUAUGCCCCUGAGUUUGUAAACACGGAGGCUAAGAAGAUUGCUAGUUUCCAGAGGGGCUUGAAUCCAAAGAUGCUGAAGACCAUGGGUACAGGGGCCAGGGCUACCUUCAAUGCUUACAUCAGUGACUGUCUCACCCAGGAGAACAACAACAACAACUACAGUGCAUCCAAGUCACGUAAGAGGGCUUUUGAAGCCGGAUCAUCUCAGUCUAGGGCACCAGUGGUAGGGCGACACCAGUAUCGUCCUCCUGCCCCAGGUGCUAGGUUCCGACCACUGCAAAGAAGGAACAUCGGGCAUCGAACACAGCAGAAGCCGUACAAGGUUGCGAUAGCCCAUGCCAAGCCAAAGGCAAUUCAAGCUGCAGCACCUGCCGUUAACAAUGCGCCCAAGGGUCCGUGCUAUAACUGCCACAAGAUGGGGCACUUUGCUAAGGAAUGUCCCUACCCCAAGAGGCAGCAGCCAACCUAUCCAGCUCGUGUGCACCAUACCUCGAUCGAGGAGAUCCCGGAAGGAGAACCGGUAACAGCUGGUAUGUUCUCUGUCAACCAACAUCUUGCAGUUGUUUUGUUUGAUUCUGGAUCAUCGCAUUCAUUCAUGAGCCAAGCAUUUGCACAAAAGCAUGAUCAGUCAGUUACUGAGUUAGGUUAUGGCUAUCGCAUCAGCUCAGCCGGAGCCGAUGUGUUGACUAAUAAAACAGUAACAGGAGUUACUUUGGAUAUCAGUGGCCGGAGGUAAACCCUAAACCUUGUGGUCAUGCCAGGACUGGUUUUGGAUGUCAUCAUUGGAAUGAACAAGAUGACUGACUGGGGCGCGGUUAUAGAUGCCGGGAAUAGAACUCUUUCCCUUAGAGACCCGCAAGGGAAGGGUGUGCUUCAGGUCAAGCUACCCAGACGGUUGGACUUCGCCAGUCUUUCGUGUGUAGUACAGGUAGUUCCACUAGAACACAUACCCGUGGUAUGUGAGUUCCCUGAUGUGUUUCCUGAGGAUUUACCAGGACUUCCCCCAGAUAGGGAAGUGGAGUUUGCAAUCGAGUUGAUGCCGGGUACAACACCAAUAUCUAGAAGGCUGUAUUGGAUGCCCCCAAACGAACUCGUUGAGUUGGAGAAUCAACUAAAAGAAUUACUGGAUAAAGGGUUCAUCCUGCCAAGCUCGUCGGAAUGGGGUUGUCCAGUGUUGUUUGUGAAAAAGAAGGAUCAAUCGUUGCGCAUGUGCGUGGACUAUCGUCCACUCAAUGCCGUGACAAUCAAGAAUAAGUAUCCCUUGCCAAGGAUUGAUAUCUUAUUUGAUCAGUUGUCCAAGGCAAAAGUGUUUUUCAAGAUAGAUUUGAGGUCUGGGUAUCACCAAAUCAAGAUUCGUCCGCAAGAUAUCCCGAAGACUGCUUUUUCCACCAGAUAUGGGUUGUAUGAGUAUCUUGUCAUGUCCUUUGGAUUGACAAAUGCUCCUGCAUACUUUAUGGAUCUGAUGAAUUCAGUCUUUAUGCCAGAGUUGGAUAAGUUUGUUGUGGUGUUUAUCGAUGAUAUUCUGGUUUAUUCAGAAAAUGAACAAGAUCACGUCGAGCAUCUGAGAAUCGUGCUGACACGAUUACGAGAGCAUCAGUUAUAUGCCAAGUUCAGCAAGUGUGAAUUCUGGUUAAAGAGAGUUCCUUUCCUAGGGCACGUUCUGUGUGAAGAAGGGAUUACUGUGGAUCCAUCAAAAGUGCAGGAAGUCAUGGACUGGAAGGCACCAACUUCUGUCUCGGAAGUUAGAAGUUUUCUUGGUCUGGCCGGGUAUUAUCGUCGUUUCAUACCUGACUUCUCCAAGAUUGCUAAGCCAAAGACAAGUUUGCUACAAAAGGAUCACAAGUUUGUCUGGACGGAAGGGUGUGAGUUAGCCUUCCGCACCUUGUGAAAGUUGCUAACCACUGCUCCUGUUCUGGCACAACCUAAUAUAGAAAAGCCUUUUGAUGUGUUUUGUGACGCAUCGAAGAGUGGCCUGGGGUGUGUGUUGAUGCAAGAUGGCAGGGUGAUAGCUUAUGCUUCCCGACAGUUGAGAAAGCACGAAGUCAACUACCCAACGCACGACCUCGAGUUAGCAGCAGUAGUGCACGCUUUGAAGAUUUGGAGACAUUAUCUGCUGGGAAAUAAGUGUCACAUUUAUACCGAUCAUAAGAGUUUGAAGUACAUCUUCACUCAGUCCGAGCUAAAUAUGAGGCAACGAUGGUGGUUAGAGUUAAUCAAGGACUACGAUUUGGAAGUUCAUUAUCAUCCAGGCAAGGCUAAUGGGGUAGCAGAUGCUUUGAGUCGUAAACCGCACUAUCAAGUGGUUCGACCGUUGUUUGAAAAUGGUUUCAAUCUCAUGCAUCCUGAAGUCUUAUGUCAUAUACAACUCUGUUGUUCACUCGAGAGUCAAGUCAUUGAAGGGCAGAAAUCAGACAAGGGUAUUUUCCACAUCAAAGAAAAGAUCAAAGAUGACCCAAAAACUCAGUUUCGAGUUGAUGAGAAGGGGGUACUGUGGUUUCGACAUUGGUUAGUAGUCCCGAAAGAUCGGGAAUUGAAGAAUCGCAUCAUGGAUGAAGCCCAUCUCUCUAAGCUCUCUAUUCAUCCUGGCAGUAGCAAAAUGUAUCAAGAUCUAAGACCCCACUUUUGGUGGACCAAGAUGAAGAAAGAAAUAGCUGCGUAUGUGGCCCGUUGUGACACAUGUUGCAGAGUUAAGGCCAUCCAUAUGAAACCUGCAGGUCUGUUACAACCGUUAUCCGUUCCAGAGUGGAAAUGGGAAGAGGUCAGUAUGGACUUUAUCACGGGUUUACCAACGACAAGGAAGGGGAAUGACUCGAUUUGGGUAAUCAUAGAUCGACUGACCAAAUCGGCCCAUUUCAUUCCUGUGAUUACCCGCUACCGACCUCCUGAGUAUGCCGAUAUAUAUAUGGCUGAGAUUGUCAAGUUGCAUGGUAUUCCCAAGACCAUCAUAUCAGAUAGAGGACCACAGUUCACCGCUCACUUCUGGGAGCGCAUGCAUAAGAGUUUGGGGACCAGUUUGAUAAGAAGCACGGCAUAUCAUCCCCAGACUUCAGGCCAAACUGAGAGGUUAAAUCAAGUGUUAGAAGAUAUGCUGAGGGCCUAUGUGCUAUCAUCCAAGGGAUCAUGGGAGUCGUGGUUACCUCUGGCUGAAUUCUCCUACAAUAACAGUUAUCAAGAGAGCAUCAAGAUGGCCCCGUUCGAAGCUUUGUAUGGUCGGAGAUGUCGAACUCCGUUGAACUGGGUUGAACCUGGUGAAAGAAGAUACUAUGGUAUCGACUUUGUGAAUGAAGCGGAGAAAAAGGUGCAGAUCAUACAACAACAUAUGCAAGCGGCACAGUCACGACAAAAGAGUUAUGCUAAUAAGAGAAGAAGGCCACUUGAAUUCAAUAUAGGUGACUAUGUGUACCUCAAGGUUACGCCAAUGAAGAAAGUUCAACGUUUCCGAGUUCGAAGCAAGCUUGCACCCAGAUAUGUCGGACCGUACCAAGUGCUAGAGAGGAAAGGCCCAGUGGCCUACAAAAUUCAGUUACCUGAAGAGUUGAGCUCGAUCUUUCCGGUCUUCCAUGUGUCGCAACUGCGGAAAUGUCUGAAGGUACCUGAACAAAGAAUUGAACCUCGAGGAAUCAAGAUAAAAGCAGACCUAGAGUAUAAAGAGUAGCCAGCGGGGAUUGUGGAUACCAAGGAACGAGUAAACCGAAACAAAGUUGUCAGAACUUAUAAAGUGGUGUGGAGUCAUCGUGACGAUAGGGAUGCCACCUGGGAAACAAAGGAUUACUUGAAAACAGUUUAUCCAAAAUUUCAUAAGAAAUGGUUAGUAACCCGAAAUCUCGGGACGAGAUUUCCCUAAGGGGGGAAGGGCUGUAACACCCUCGGUGUUAAGCAUGCACUUAGUCUUAUCAAAGUCAUGCAUAAGCAUUCCCAUCAAGCAUAAGCAUCAUGAGCAUGUCAUUCUUUUCAAAAUAUGAUUUUAUGUGCUUCAUUUCAUGAGUUUUAAAUAUGCUAAAAAUAUGAUACUUGCUUCUAAAAUUUGUGAAAUAUUCAAACUAGGUUGAUUUAUGUGUAAGAAGAAUUUAGAGUAUUUUUGUGUAAUUUUUGGAGCUAUAGAAUUUGAGAAAUGGAAUUUAUACAAAAUAUCCAAAAAGAAUUUAUUUAAAAACCUAGAACUAAGUUUUGAUUUGUAAUUCAAAUUCUAUUUAGAAUUUGGUCUUGCUUAUUAAAGCAAAGUUGUAGAGUUUUUAGUUUGGAACAACUUUGCCUUUGGAGAAAGUGGUGAAAAAGAUUUGAAAAUGGCCAAAAUGAAUUUAGAAGAGAAAUUGAGAAAAGAAAUUCAAAAAAUAUAUAUAGAAAAGGGAAAAGGGGGCGCUAGCAGGCCGCGGCCUCACUUCUGGCCCGCUGGCCGAAGCCGGCUCGGCCCGCCCACGCCUUCCCCUUCCCCUUCCCCUUCCCUGGGCUUGCGCCCGCGUCCGCGCGCGGACGGCCGCUCGGUGCCGCCGUGGCGCGCCGGCAGAGCCUGGCCGCCGUGUGGCGAGCAUGCGGCAGCGAGGACGCGUCCCGGUCGGCCACCAGAAGCGCUCGGCUGCGCCCGCCUCCGCCCCCUCUUCCAUUCGCGCCCCUCGGCCCUCGCUCUCUCGCUCUCUCGCCCUCGGUCUGCACGCGCAGAGCGCCGCCGUCGCCAUUGGAGCACGAGCUCCGCCUCGGCCGUUCCUCCCCCGUGCGUGCUCCAUUCUGCGAUUAGUUCUCCCCCGAGCUCCGCCCUCGCUCCGCCGUUGCGGAACACCCGUCCGAGCGCUCGGUAAGGCACGGUGAGCCCCCGCUCGCUCUCGUUUUCUUCUCCGGCGAGAGCUCCGCCGCCGCGCACGUGAUCCGCGCGUCUCCAUGCCUUCUGGUGCUGCGUAGUUGGCGCAUUGUGCUCGCCUUGGCACCGCAAUGCUCACGAGCCACUCCAGCCACGCUCUACCGGGCCAGCGUCCCGUGCCGACGGUGAGCAGCGCCGCCGCUCCGCCAUGGCCGGUGGCGAGCCUGCUCCGGUCCGUUUUAGGCCACACAAAUGGGUGCGCUAGGUCCGCCGUGAGCCGUAGAGCGUGUAGAGCCGCUUGAUUCGCCGAAAGGGGUCACCAACGGUGAGCUCCGCCCUCCCCUCUGCGUCCUGACCAGUGGGCCCGGCUGGCAGGCGGGUCCGCUCGUCAGCGACCGCGGGUGCACUGCACCGGGUGCACCUAGCCGGUCUCGGGGUGGAUGACAGGUGGGGUCAUCUGACUCGCGUGUCCCGCCUGUCAGUGACUCCGAGGGUUUGAAUCCGAGUGCGCUUAGCCUUUUAGGUUGUUUUCCAUUUUAAAAGUUUUUCCAGAAAAUGGGUUAUGUAUUCAAAAAUCCAUAUCUUGAGGAAUAUAGCUCCAAAAAUUGUGAAAUAAAUUUUGGUGUGUUCCCUAUUUCCAGAUCUAUAGCCUAGUAUGUCUGCAUGUCAUGUUUGAGUAACUUUUGUGUAUGAAAAUAUUUAAUCCAUGUUUUUGCUAAACUUAGAAAAUGCAUAGUAAAUAAAAUAUGGCUCAGAAAAAUGUGAAAUUUGUUUUGUUGGCUCUGCAUGUGUGUUUACUCACUGGGAAAAUAUUGUUACAUAUUAUUUGGUGUAUAAAUUAAUUUAUGGUAAUUUAAAUGCUUGCAUGGCAGUGAUUUAUGAUUUUUAAUAAUUAAUUGGGUCAUGCAAUAAAUCUGGAAAAUUUUGUGGGUAUUUCUUAUGAUAUUAGACAAAUGGUAAAAAUAUGAAAUCUGUUGUUUGACAUUUAUAUCACAGUGGAGUAAUUAUACUUACUUUAUUAAUUAAUCUUCUGAUUUUUGUGGCUCAAAAUAAGUAUCCAAAAAUUAUGAAUGGUUGUGUAUAUAGGUUGAAUGGAAUAAGUUGGGUUUGGUGUAUCUUUGAAGCAUCGUGUGGGUUGCUGGUUGCAUUUGAAAAAUAAUUGUAGAAGAGAAUGCAAUAGAUGUUUGAUUCAGUUGAUUGCUCUUGGAGGUUGUUGACUACCUUGUAAUGAGCAUGACCAAGCGUAUCACUUAUGCCAUGACUCCUUUAGUACCUUCUCAUACAAGCAUCCACUCGGGCACCUCGCACUCCACUCAUAAGCACACAUGCAUCAUACAGGCUCGCAGGAGAACGAAGUGGGACCCGAGGAGCCAGAGGAGAGUCAGGAGCAGGAACCUCCGGAAGCACAGGAACCCAGAGAGGAACUGCAGGAGUGUCCAGAUCACCGACCCAGCACGUUUGAGAAAGGCAAGCCCCGGAGCAUUCUAAGUCUCCCUAUUCUCGCUAACUUAUACAAAGCACUAUACUUGUUCUACUAUAUUGCAUUUAAGUGAUAGGAAUUGCUCGAUACCGUUGAUGCAUAUGUACUCCUUGUUAUCCUUACUCGUUCACCUACCUUGUCCUAUGUAGAUAGGCACGGAGUCUAUGCUUAGCUUGCUUAGUCCGGUAGAAGUCGGGUGAUUCCCUGUCACCUGCGAGAUAUAGGUGGAUACCUGCUUGAUUAAGCAGUAGUUGCUUGGGGAAAGGAAUAACCAAGUGUGGAAUAUAAUUGGAGACCGGGCAGGGUCUUAUGGUGGGUUCACCAUAGUGCCCCUGCCUGUGUCGAUUAAGGACCGAUCGUUGACGGCCCUCUUGUCAUGUUGAACGCAUGCCCCACAUUUAGCUGGAAGGAUAAGUCGUUCCGACCACGAAGCCUGAGCACUAUCCAGGCCGGGAAUCGGCCCGAUGUACGCGCUGUAUUGGUGAUGGUUGAGGAGAACGACGAGGGCGCGGCGCGCAACCUUGGUAUACCUUGGAUACCUCGGUCGCCGGAACGGUCCUCGGGUACGGGCGGUGCCUGUCGAACCCACGAAUUGGUCCUGGAUAGUGCAAUACGGUGAUCUGUAGCUCACUUGAUCAGUGAGUGUGGUUUGUGUGGGGAAUAAACUCGCCAGCUGGUUAGAAAUCGAUUCGAAUCGCCAUCGCUCCUGGAUAGUGAGCACUUGACAUGAGCCCUGUCCUCGUAGUAAGGACUAUGGAACACUUGGGUUAUAAUGAUGAAUGGUUUUAAGAAAUGCUAUGAUGAGGUACUAUCAUAGUCUUAUACUUGCUUGUAAUAGUGCAGGUGCAAACCUAGAUGAUAGGUAAUGAUACUUUCAACUUGAGCAAAUUAAAAGAAGAAAGACUUAUGUAGGUUAUGAUAGUGAAAUACUGCGGUUUUACAAAAUGGUUGUCAGCUACCCCACUAUAUAGCCUUCAUGAUCCUUGAUGAGUCUUUAUUUUAAGUUUAUGACGGGUAAGUCUAGUUGAGUACCUUCUCGUACUCAGGGUUCUACUCCCAUGUUGUUUUGCAGAUGGUCAAAUGUAUUAUGGUUAUUGCAUCCUCUGUCUGUACCCAGCCAUGGGUGAUGACUAGACCAAGGGCGAUGGUCACUCCGUCUUCUCUUUUGCUUUUGUGGGAAUGACCGAACUAUGGCACUGUAUCAGACUAAGUGUGUGUGUUGUAUUUUCGAAUUAUGAAGCUUCUGCUACUUGAAGAACAUGGUAUUGUAAUAACUUUAAGUACUCCGAUGUAUUUUAUAAAUGUUGUAAUCUGGAUGUAUUGUGGAUGGCGACCGCUAAACUUAUUACGAUCUUGGCUGUUGUACGAUGUGUGGUUUGAAAUCCUUCGAGAUUUCACAGACUACCGGGAUUAUAUGGGCUUAAGCCUGAUGGUUUGACUAUGCAAAUAGUCGCUCUUAGGCUUAAUCUCUUAUAAUUUGGUCGGUUCUGUUACAUAGAUGGUAGAAAAUUGCGCGGUGCGUUGAUAUCUAUAUGUAAUCCCAACAUGUGGGCCUUUCUUCCGUAUUUCUUGAUAACCCCCUGCAAAAAUAGACAAACACCAAAACUUGUGGAAUUCUGUUAGAUAAAACCCUAAGUCUAGGUGUUGGUUGCAUUUGGAUCCUUUUCUUUAUUUAUUUGAUGAUUAUAUUUGGUACAUAAGGACCGUCAACAAUGUUCAGGCUGCUGCCGCAGUCCAUCAGCACCUUCGAGAGUCUAGCGUUGAUGAUGAUGGGGUCGACGACGAGCGGGUAGACGCCGGGGGCGACUACCUUGUCAGGGUGGUCGUCUCGAUCGAAGGUGAUGGGGGUGUUUGACCAGUUGAGGUACUGGGGCACUGCCAUCAUUGCCACAAAGACCUCGCGGUGCUCCUUCUUGUGCUGCCUUGCGGUUAGCUGUGUCGAGGGUCCGCCGUAGAUCAUGUAGCAGUCAUGGACGGCUGGGAAACCUUCGUCGUCUUUGUCAUAUCCCUUGUUGCCGCUCUUCUCUUUCUUCUGGUCGUCCUUCUUGAACCCCAGGCCGUCGAAGUGCCUCUUCAGCAUACGGUAGUCCUCGAGCUUGUGGUUCGCCCCUCCCUUAUGGUAAGGGUAGGGCUCCUUUAGCAUUUUGUCGAAGAUAGCCCCCUCUGGGGGUCCUUAUUGACGGUCCUUAAGUAUCAAAUUUAAUUAUCAAAUAAAUAAAGAAAAGGAUCCAAAUGAAAUCAAGAUCCAGACUUAGGGUUUUAUCUGACAGAAUUCCACGAGUUUUGGUGUUUGUCUAUUUCUGCAGGGGGUUAUCAGGAAACAUGGAAGAUAGGCCCACAUGUCAGGAUUAUGUAAAGAUAUUAACGUGCUGCGCAAUUAUCUUACAUCUAGAAGACUCCAGAAGCCACGAGACCGAAGCGGAGGCGAAACGGGGCCAGAGGCAGGGCGCCCGCCCUGUCCUACUGGGUGCCCGCCCACCUCCUGUGUCCAAUCAGGACUCUGCUUUGCGGGAGAUCUCCACCGACCUAAAGGAUGAAUCUAAACCAUACAAUCUAUGUCGGUUUGAUCCAAUGACCCAUAUUCACUUGAAGGGACUAUAAAACCAGACCCUCUGGCCCCUGGAGGAGAGAGCCUCUCAACCCUAAUUCAUUAUUCCAUCAAGGGAGAAGAAGCCUCUGAUCAAGAUUAGAGCCACCACAUCAAUUAGACAUAUAGAUUAGCAUAGCUACAUAGGAUUAGAACUAGAAGGAGUCAAUCUUCGAUUGGUUUCCGGAUCUAUCAAGAGGAUUCUUGGUAAUUCUCUAAUUGUGCUUCUAAUUGCUUUCUAAUUAUCUUUGUUCUUCAAUAUUAUGAAUAUGACUUUGUUCUACUUCAAUAUAUUGCUUAUGACUUUGCUCUACUUGCUUAUAUUCAAGAUUAUAUUGUUCUUAGUUUAUCAUAGUUAUGUACUUGGCUUAGUUAGAUUCGAUCUAUAUACAUGCUUAGGAUUGUAUAGCGUUUAUCCAUCGGAUCCAUGGGUAAAUGAUAGAUAUUGUGUAGGCGUGGUGCUUAUACCGUAUUUAUCUGCGAUUGUACCCAAUAUGACACAUCGUGGGGUAGUUCGUGAUAGUGACAGCUUCAUUGAUUCUUAUAUAGUCCCCCUCUCGUGUAUUGGGCUGGCAGAGCAACAUUAUUACAGGGGAGUGAUUGCUAUGUUUCUCAUAUUCCUUGCUAAUAUCACUAUGCAUGGGCGUAGUCUUGUCUCGCAAUGAUUGCUAAGUAUGCUUGCACUAACUAUGAUAUGCUAGACUAUAGAGUUAAGAAUAACUUAGGGAAUAUUCUUGUAGUUCGUUCUAAUACCAUACUAAUGACUUUCUAGAGUAUCUAAUUGAGGUGCUUAUCAUAUUUAUUAUGUGGCUAGAUCAGAUUAGUUAUCCUUGUCACUAUUAUUAUUUCAUAUAUCCUUUAUGUGACACUUAUCCCUGUAUGAAGAGUUAAAUAUAAUGUUCUCAAUUAUACAUGCAAUGAUAGAUGCUCAAUCUCAUAUUCUAUUCUGUAAUCAAUAGUGAUGAUUGCUAAUCCCUUCUCAGUGGUAAAAAUAUAAAUAACGAUACCUGGAAUAGUUCCCGGUUAAAAUGCUGCAUCGGUAUUAAUCUGUGCGCUUGCAGAUCCCAUUCAUUAUUUAUUUAGAAGAGCAAUUGCAUAUUUCAAUACCGCGUCUCUUAUAUCAUGCUGGGGAUGACAACUUGGCUUAAGUGGUGUGAGGGAUAGGUUUGGCAUUUUUGGCAUCGUUGCUAGAUUUAGAGAACUUAGUCUACUUUUGGUAAUGAUGUUAAGAAUACCCAACAAGCAUUUUUUGGCGCUGUUGCCGGGGAAGGUUGAUUACUAAUCAAGAAUGGAAUAAAGGAUUUUGAGUUAUCAUUCGCAUCACUAAUAUGAUUGAGCUUAUCUAUUCUCUCAUACAGUUUUACCCCGAUAUUUUUCUAUUUUAUCUUAUGCAGGGGAAUGUAUGAAUAGAAGACAUCUUCCAGGAAAUUGUUGAUAAUCCCGAAGCAUUAUUCAAAAAGACAAGGGCCAAGCUCAAGAAGAAAUCAUCAACACUUCACGAAGAAGCUUCAUCCAAUCAAGAAGAUCACCGGAACUUGUCUUCAGAGUUCGAAGCCAUGGCGAACAAAUCGAAACGCGAGUUCUCAGCUCCCACUUCGGAUAACAUCCGCACUGGACCUGCUGCAGAGAUUGAUGGCGACUUUGAGCUCAAGCCUGGACUUAUCAACAUGGUGCAAUCCAACUAGUUCUGUGGGAAGGCACACGAAGAUGCUAGUGCUCAUUUACAACACUUCCUGGAGAUUUGCAACACAUUCACCAUAUCAGGAGUUUCCAAAGAUGCUAUACUACUUCGCCUCUUCCCAUUCUCACUGUUAGGAAGAGCGAAGCAGUGGUUCUACGCUACAAAGGAGAAGAAUACUACGUGGGCACUCUGCUCAACAAACUUCCUAGCAAAGUUCUUUCCCAUGGGCAAGACCAAUGCUCUCCGUGGGAAGAUUACAAGUUUUCAGCAACAAAAUGAUGAAUCCGUCCCAGAAGCAUGGGAGUGCUUUCAAGACUACAUCCUAGAAUGUCCCCAUCUUGGAAUGGAGAGUUGGCUAUUGAUGCAGACGUUCUAUCAUGGCCUCGGCAACAGUGCCCGAGAGACCAUGGAUGCUGCAGCUGGAGGAGCAUUCUUAUCACUUACUAUACCACAAGCCACAGCUCUUGUGGAGAAGAUGGCGUCCAACCAAGGCUGGAAUGAAGAGAGGACCCAGACAUGCAAGAGAGGUGGAGGUAUGCAUCAGCUGAAGGAGGUAGACAUGCUGUCUGCAAAGCUAGACCUGCUCAUGAAGAAGCUCGACGAUAGAGCCGGAGACAAGAAAGAAGUUAUGCACAUCUACGACUCUCACAUGACUUGUGAGGAGUGUGGAGACACUGGACACUCAGGCAACCACUGCCCUGAGAUACUUGAGGAUGUGAACUACAUCAACAACAACAACAACAACUACUACAACCGUCCUCAACAAAAUCAAGGUUGGAAUCAACAGAGGCCUAACUACUCAGGUAGUUAUCAAGGUAAUAAUUCUUACAACAAUAAUAAUAAUUUUCCACCUCUGAGAGAGUUAGUGUCUAAUCAAGGAAAGCUAAUGGAUAACCUAUUUAAGAAAUUGGCAUCUAAUGAUAAAAUGCUAGAAAAUAUAAAUAAUAGAAUGGAUAAUUUUUCUACUGCCAUCAAGAAUCAAAUUAGCUUUAAUAAAAUGAUUGAAUCUCAGUUAAAUCAAAUAGUUGCUGCUGUUCCUACUACUAACCCCGGUAUACCAUCACAACCGGAAGGAUUAGAAUCUGCAAAUCUUGUAGACAUGUUUGAUGCAGGUAAUUAUAGUAACCCCGUCAAUGAAUUCUCUACUAACCUUAUGCCGGUCAAGAGAGGCGAUCCAGGACGCCCCGUCAUCCCGAUCUCCAUCGGCAUGGUGGAUGUCCCAGAAGCACUCUGCGACUUUGGCUCCAGCGUCAACAUUAUACCCAGGGUACUCUAUGAAAAAUUCUUUACAUAUCCUUUAUUAGAAACAACCAUGUGUUUGCAGUUUGCACAUCAGACGAUAACUUUUCCAAAAGGAAUAGUGAAGAACCUUUGUGUACGAGUUGGUACCUUAUAUGCCCCAGCAGACUUCGUAGUGGUAGAGACCGGAAGUGAUGAGAGAGCACCUGUCAUCCUAGGGAGGCCAUUCUUGAACACCACGGGACCUAUCAUCUACGCCAGUGCUGCCAAGAUCAGUUUCUACGUCAAAGGGAAGAAGGAGACAUUUUUCUUCAAGAACAAGACUACACAAAUUCAAGAUCAAUCGAGACGUAAAUCAAGGAAGAGGACCAACAGGAGAAACAAGAACAAACAAGUGUGGACUGAGUCAGCUAAGAUGGUCACUGUAGUCCAUGGAGGCCAAGAUCACCAACUUAAGUCACCAUUUUUGACCAAGAAGGACGACCCAGGAAUGCCAAGCAUUUAAUGCUCCAUAAAUGGAUACAACUUCUACAAGACAUUUUGUGACACCGGAUCGGGCGUCAACAUAAUGGCCGCAGUCACCUAUCGGCUCUUAUUCGGAACCAUGCCACUAAAACCAACAUACAUUCAACUCCAGAUGGCAGAUCAGACAUUUCGAGAAGUUAAAGGAACAGUAACGGAUGUCCCAGUCAAAAUAGACGAUCAUUUUGUCUACACAGACUUUUAAGUUAUUGACAUGGGAGAAGACGAGUAUGAUCCACCCAUCAUCCUUGGAAGAUCGUUUCUCAGCACCGUUAAAGCAAUUAUCUACAUUGGAACCGGAGAAGUCCAUAUGCACUUCCCCUCAGAGAAGGUAUGCCGUUAUUUUACUGACCCUAACUAUAUCGUUGAAGAAUCUAAGCAGGUAAGAAAGCGACGCAACCGCAACCAGAGGAGGCAGAUCAUCAGGGACGGAUGGGCAGACUACGAAGGAGAAGUUGUAAGGUCAGAAGACGUAGAGUUUAAAUAGAAUUAUCCAGAGGAGACCGUAGCACCGAGUCAGGUAUGGAAAGAGAAGAUAACUAUACAUGAAGAGGAGGCACUGCCGGAAGUACCGACUCCGCCAACCAACGAAUCCCAUGACAAUUGAGAAAAUGGAGAGUCCCGUUCGGAGGACUUAAAAACACCGAACGCCUUGCCAAGAGGUAAACUUGGUAGUUAUCCUUUCCCUUUUAAUUAUUUCAACUAGUUUACUUUGUUAAUCAUGUUCGUGCUAUCUUAAAAAGAAAAUAAAAAUAUGAAAAACAGUAAGCUAUACGAGUGGCAUAAAACCCAUAAGUACAUUCACUGUGGUGGCAUAAAAAUAAAAUAAAAAUUUCUUUUCUGCUUUAUAAAAUAAAAAUAUAAAAACAGGGAGUAAUAAUUAUUAAGGAGUCUCAACAUGAUAAAGGCUAGAUAUUUAUGCUAACACUUAAUCAGUUCCACAAGCUUUGUUGUCUAUUUGAGCUCCACAGAAUUUAAGAAUCAGGAAGACUGGCAGACGGAGGACAUUCUUAUCGCUGUCAGAAUGCUGCUGACUUUCAAAUACACCUCUGCUGCCUGCUAGCUACAUCAAGAGAAAUUACGUCAAAAUUCAGCUUGGGGGAGAGCACCCCAUUUAUCUCGAUAAGUAUUUCUAUCUAUCUAUCUUUAUACUUAUAUUAUAUUUGAAUAUAAAUAUAAAUAACUAUGGGAAAAUCAAAUAAAGAUCUUGUGCUUAUAUAUAACUUUUGCUAGUGUGUUUAAUAAAUAAAUAAAGUGGCUAUGCUAAUCUGUAUCUAAAUAAAACUCUAGCAUGGAUAUGACGAAUAGUUGCUCUGCCUAAUUUGCACAUUUGAAGUUCUCUCUCAAGUUUAGACAUAACUGUUAUAAUUUAAGGCUUGCUCUAGACAUAAACUUGUGGGAUGAAAACUUGAUCUGAAGUCUAAGUUGUUAACGGAUACGAUAUGGGAAGGUUGAGCUGCUGUUUAUCUGUUCCUAGAGAUGCUAGAAUUCUGGAGAAUUUUAUCUUUGAAAAUCUUUAAAAUGUUGCAUGAUGUGUUCCUGAAUGAUGAGAGUUUAAAUUCCUACCACAGCCAUAUAUACAUGCUUGCUAGACUUUGAGCCACACAUUUACUAUUUACUACUUAUGAGCAUUGAGUGUGGUCAAGCUGUGUAGACCCUUAGGAGCUUGUCAUGUGGUUAAAUCAAGAUUCACUUGCACGUUCACUCAUAUAUGCUACUUCUAUUCCAGAAGUACCAUCCACAUAUACCCAUCCAUUUCCAUCUCCAGAACCACCCAAAAAUAUUCUACUCCUAAUUCGGGAGAGAAUAAACAAAAAUAUUCAUGUUUUUCUUUGUGAAAUAAAUGCUCAAGUUAUCUUGUUACUACCACUUGCUAUAUUAUCUCAAGAGAUGAGUGCUCUAAAAAAAGAGAGAAAAAAAAUAAAAAUACGAGGAAAUAAAAAGGAGCAAGUGCUCGGAACCUCGAAAGAAAAGAAAAAGUGAGACGAGAGGUAAAAAUGGACAAGUGUCCGAUAGUAGAAUUAGGGGUACAAGAUACCCACCUGAGAGAAAAGAAAAAGAAGAGCAUCUCAUUCUCCUCAUAAAGUUUCAAAAAGCAAGGAAGGUAUGUAUCCCCUCAAAGAGCAAAAGUAGAAUUAGACUUCCACCAUUGUUAUCACCAUCAUCACCAUACACCAUUCAUUCACCACACAUGCACAUUUUGAUUUGACUUAUUGAUUUGUUUCUUUGGAUCCAUGGUUUGACUAUACAAUAAAUGUCUUGUAAGUAUGUAUAUUUUAUCUCCCACCUAUGAGCUCCAGAUAUAAAAGCCUUAUUAGAGUAGGGUGAGAGAGAAGACAAUGUCAUUAUGCUUCAUACCACAAAUACCACAUAUUUUGAGAGAAGGCAUAUACCAUCACUGCCUUGGUAAGGAUCCAGAAAUACCACAAAAGAGAGACCUGAGAGAAUCAUACAAGGAAUCUCUGAGUUUUAUUUGAAAAUCUGCAAAAACCCCAGAGCUAUAGCUGAUCAAGAAUAAGAGACAUGGCACUUGGCUAGACUGUUCUAUCUUUUAACCUCUCAAGACUGAAGUGACGGUUACAAGUCCCAUGGUGUAGGUAAAGUAAGUAAGUUUUAAGUCUUGACAGUUUACUCUAACUCAG
Molecule: long non-coding RNA, 53662 nt
Filed under: Sorghum bicolor (sorghum)
Lineage: Eukaryota; Viridiplantae; Streptophyta; Magnoliopsida; Poales; Poaceae
Description: long non-coding RNA (SBIC_LNC008480)
Source: RNAcentral